UGGAUACAUAUAUAUCCUUAACAUACUCAAGCGGCUCCCAUUAUUGGUAUCAAACCAAUACCGAUUCAUACAAGCUAAAUCUUCUAAUCGAUAAUUAGGCCAAAAAAAGAACUUGAAUUUAAUUAAUUCAUUUUUUUUUAUGUCAAAAUCUUUAUUUUCAUCCAAAAAUUGACUCCAUUUUUUUAUCUUGUUCUCGUUGUAAACUAAUGUGUUUCUAUCCACACCAGUGUUAUUCUUUAAAUUCAAAUUAAAAGAAAUGAGAAUUCUUAAUUCUCUACGGCGUCUAGACGAUAAAAUUUUUUCAGGAACAAGCAAAUCAGAAUUCUUUUUGUCUAUAUUUUUAGCAACAUUUUCUUGUUUUUGGUAUCUUUGAUUACUUUGGUACUUACUUUUAUGAACCAAUGAAAUACUUAUGAUUUGAUACAUAAAAAACUGUCCGUCAUUUUUUAGAGAUAGGCGGGCAGGUUCCAGAAUUAAUAUUCCUGUUUUCAUUAAUUGUGUAAGAUUUAAAUUCCUACUCAUUAUACCCAGAUCCAUUUCUUUCCUUUGAAUAUAGGAUAUAGUAAUUUUUCUGACAUUUAUCAGGCUAAGUAGUAGACCAUAUAUCUGGAUAUUAUUCAUUAUUUUUUGAUUCAAUUGAUUGACACGUCCAGCCCAUCUUAAUUGCAAAGGAAAAUCUCCUUUAAGGAAUAUUUUUAGUUUUUCGGUGGAUUCUAAAAAGUAUUCUUCAAUAUUGUUUUGAUUAUUUAAUUCAAAAUAUUGUUUUGAAUUUGAUGGUCUAAAUUUGAAAAAAUCCUCUUCUUGCUUCAAAAAAUCCUCUUCUUGCUUCAAAAAAUCCUCUUCUUGCUUCAAAAAAUCCUCUUCUUGCUUCAAAAAAUCCUCUUCUUGCUUCAAAAAAUACUCUUCUUGCUUCAAAAAAUACUCUUCUUGCUUNGGUCUCUUUGGGGAUAAACACCAAUCAUAAGGUCUGAGACGACCCAUAAAGCAAUUGAUCAUAUCACGAUCUAUUUUAUAAGCCUACUUGGGUAUUGAGUAUUUAUUUAUAAGAACUUAAUUUUUUGCACUCGAUAGUUUCAACUCGAGAAAAAAGAAUCCAGUAAAAUUUUUAUUUUACUUACAUAAAACCAUUCAUAUAUCGUAUAUGUUCAUAUAUCGUAUAUGCGGGUGUCUAGAUAACAUAUAUUUUAUAUGGAUUCAUUUGUUUCUUUUGAUUCUUGCUCGAGCCGGAUGAUGAAAAAUUAUCAUGUCCGGUUCCUCCGGGGGAUGGAUCUAUAAGAAUUCGCCUAUCCCAAUAACAAAAAAACCUGACUUGAAUGAUCCUGUAUUAAGAGCGAAAUUGGCUAAAGGUAUGGGUCAUAAUUAUUACGGGGAGCCCGCAUGGCCCAAUGAUCUUUUAUAUAUUUUUCCGGUAGUAAUUCUAGGUACUAUUGCAUGUAACGUAGGGUUAGCGGUUCUAGAACCAUCAAUGAUUGGUGAACCGGCAGAUCCAUUUGCAACUCCUUUGGAAAUAUUACCCGAAUGGUAUUUCUUUCCCGUAUUUCAAAUACUUCGUACAGUACCCAAUAAAUUAUUGGGUGUUCUUUUAAUGGUUUCAGUACCUGCGGGAUUAUUAACAGUACCUUUUUUAGAGAAUGUUAAUAAAUUCCAAAAUCCAUUUCGUCGUCCAGUAGCGACAACCGUAUUUUUGAUUGGUACCGCAGUGGCCCUUUGGUUGGGUAUUGGUGCAACAUUACCUAUUGAUAAAUCCCUAACUUUAGGUCUUUUUUAAAUUGAUUCAAUUGUGAAAUAAAAUAUCACGACGUAUGUAUCUAGGGAACAGUCGCUUCAAAGUGAAUUCUCCCUAGAUACAUCUAUUCAAUUAAAUUAUGAAUCUAUGCCAAUUCCGAAUAUAUGAAUUGUCCUAAAGAUUCAAAACCUAUUUUCGGCCUUUUUCUAAAAAAAAAGAUGAAAAAAAAAUCCAAUGAAUUUAAAACUUAUUUUUCGGUAAAUCAAUUACGAAAUUUUUUUCUAGAAUGCCUAAAAUUUGUUUGACAUCUUCUAUGCGAAAAUGUUCCAUUUUCAUAAGAUCUUCUUGACUGUUAUUCAAAAGGUCCAACAAUGUAUAUAUAUUGUAUUUGUCAAGUCCGCCUGGUAGACGAAAGGAAGUUGAUUAUGGAACGUCUAAUUAGGCGUUGGGUCGAUGCCCGAGUGGUUAAUGGGGACGGACUGUAAAUUCGUUGACAAUAUGUCUACGCUGGUUCAAAUCCAGCUCGGCCCAAAAAUUCGCCAAUAUACUAUCAAAUGGUAGAACCCUCUUGUUCUUAAGAAAUACCUGAUAAGAGAGAAUAAAAAAGAAGCCAAAUUUUCUGUUAGAUCUCUUCUUAUUUCCCUGGGAUUGUAGUUCAAUAGGCAAGAGCACCGCCCUGGUAAGGCGGACGUUGCGGGUUCGAGCCCCGUCAGUCCUCUUUCUCUGCAUUUCCAAUAUUUGCAGCAAUUAUAUUUCUCUGUACCGGACACACCCUAAAGGUAUAACUACGGACUUAUCCCCUAGUCACAUCCUCAACUGGUAAACAUGGAAAGUGUUGUUGAUCUGACGAAGCUCCUCUAGAAGAUCCAAACUUAGGAAACCUUGCCAACCCGAUCAAUAACUCUAAAGGGUCUAAUAUAUUUAUGACCCAACUUGCCCCAUUUUUGGAACCGAAUGACACCUUUCUAAGGUGACACCUUUAGAAGAAAGAAAUCCCCAACUUGGAACUAAAGAUUAGACCAACUUCAAUCUGCAUAGCUCUUUUGCAGUUUGUUGUUUCUCACAUACUUGUUGGAUAAAUUUGGUAGUCUUGAUCACUCCAUUAGUACUUGCCAUAAACCUCUAACCAACUUCCCCCCAACAAAUCGGGGUUCAACAUAUAGUCCAACUAUAGUCUUUCAUACAAACAGAAAUCAUGUACACGAACACAUACACACACACACACACACACAUAUAUAUAUAUAUAUAUAUAUAUAUAUAUAUAUAUUCACACAUAAUAUAGUAAUAAUAAUCAACUAAUGCUAGAAGUUAUAGUCUCACAUGUCUCAGAUGAAAAACAGCUAGCGCGGCCCACUUAAAACCAUCCAAUACAGAGGUCUAACAUCAGUCACUAACUCAUACCGAAAAUUGUUUGACUAAAAGAUAAACAUUUCAAUGAUUAACAUGUCGCGACCCGAAUCAUGGUCGCACCGUGAACACUAGGUGAUAAAAUAGUUGCGACCCAGGUUCAAAACACUCGUCGUGACACUUCUUUUACACGUCACGCUUUUCAAGGAAAAAUCAACAUUCUAUUAAGCACUUACUCCCUUAAGACCAACACUUAUACUCAUAGAUCUGAAUUAAACAAUGGUCUUAAUGGCCAAAACCUUAUGCAUGUAUUAAAGAGAGUCAUGUCAUGUACCAAAAUAAACCCAAGAAUAUUCACAAACUAUCCAAAGAUAUGUAUAAUGUUUUGGAGUUCUCUAAAAUCUAAGAACAUCAAGAAAAGGAACAUUACAUGGCUAAAAAAAUAUCCAGCCCAUUAAUUUAUACACAAAACAACAAAAAACAGGAAACUUUAAUACAUACAAAUCUUACAAUGGGUCAAUAAGGUGGAAUCUUCUGCUGGAAUGAGCUUCACAAUGCACCAAAUUCGCCCUUCUUCACCAAAAUCACUCAAAAAGAUCAAGGAAACAAAGAGAAAGUUAUAAGAUGUUAGGGUUUAAUUUUUAUGGUGGAGACUGAGAAUAAGAGAGAACCAAAAUGUUAGCAUCCACUAUAUUGGGUUCAAAAAAACAAGAUCUAGGGUUUUGGGAUGAUGAAGCCACGCGUUGUAACCCACCGUUGGUCGCGUCGCGACUUAAUGACGUGUUAAGUAUAGCGAAGACCAAGGCACACAUGGCAAAACCCAGGAACCCAUAAUUCCUUGACUUCAAAACAUACAACUUGAUAAACUAAAUCAUACCUGUAACUAGUGUUUCAAUAGUCAAAAUAAGUCAAUGAUCGUGAAUCGCUAACACGUAAACAUCAAUGUAAUAGGCUUGAUGUAUAAUAUUUAAUUAUUUAUAUUAAAAUACAAUAUUAUAGUUGAAAUACAUGAGAAAUAUCAAUUAAGUCAUCAAAUUGUAAAAAGUUGGAUAAAAAACACUCAUCGUAAUAUAUAAAAAGUAAUUUAAUACAUGUAUUUGAAAUAUAUAUAUAUAUAUAUAUAUAUAUAUAUAUAUAUAUAUAUAUAUACAUAUAUAUAUGUGAUAUCUCUUGAUUCAAUUCAGAGGUCUUACCAUCCUCUCUCUUUCUUGAUCUUAUUAGAUCAAGAUGCCUCCGAGAAAGAGACCCAACUCCAAGACCAACAACCCUCCGCCACCACCUCCUCCUGAAAUUGACCCNAGCUGGAGUUGAGGUGUGUGCGAUGCCAUCAUCCCGAGCUCUUCCCUUUACUUGCGGAAGUACCUGAAACCAAAACUGAAACUGUAAGCACAAAGCUUAGUGAGCUCCCCCAAACUACCUCAAACCAAACAAACAUAUAAACAACUACUGGGCCCCCGUUCCUGCUGGAAGGAAACUCACCUUGUAGCCUAGCUGCUGAAAGACUGCUCCGGAAUCUGUCUGCUGCGGCUCCGGCUUCACCCCGGCUACAAUUUUCAUAAGUACCAUCAAUCAAAUACUGAUAAUAAUACUGAGGGUAAAAAGACUAUCUUACCCUUGGUCAAGGUCAACCUAUCGGUCAAAGUCAACAUUCAGUUCACCUGACUCGUCAAUUUGGGUCACCAACUCGUCGAGUCCUUACUCUCACUUUCUUGCUUCUGCCCGUUACUACUCGUCGAGUUUGGCAUAGACUCGCCGAGUUGUAUGAACAACUGAUCGAUUUCUCCUUUAACAUAUGAACACUCUGAAUGUGACUCGCCGAGUUGUAUGAAUAACUCGUCGAGUCUGUUCUUGAGGCAUGAAGAUUGCCUUGGACUCGCCGAGUCAGGGCAUUGACUCGCUAACUUCUUCCAUGAAUGAGUCUAACCUCCAGCUCGCUGAGUCCAUCUCUCACUCACUGGUUCCACUCGGCAUAACUCGAAAAGGUGAAAACAGGGGACUCGCGACUCGACUCGCCGAUUCUGAAGAACGACUCGCCAAUUCGUAUACAUGCAAUCACUAUAUACUCGAUUCUGCUUGAAACCAGUUCAUUCCAUUCAUAGAUCUGGGUUCUUAGGGCUUGAUUAACAUGUAAAGUUUCCAACUUGGGGUGUUAAAACUCUCCCCCACUUGACUCAGACUUCGUCCUCGAAGUUUGCUGCCGCUGAAUCUGGAAACAACUUUAGGUAAUACUCCCGCAUCUCCUCCUCGGACUCCCACAUCCACUCUGAACCCUUCCGGUGCUGCCACUUCACCUUCACUAACUGAAUUACCUUGUUUCUCAAGGUUUUUACCUACCGAUCUAAGAUCGCAACUGGUCUCUCGACAUAAUUCAGGCUACUAUCAACCUGAAUAUCCUCCAUGGGUACAACUGCCGACUCGUCCACCAAACACUUCCUCAACUAAGAAACAUGGAAAGUGUUGUGGAUCUGGCUAAGCUCUGACGGAAGAUCUAAUCGGUAGGCUUCCCGAUCCACCCGGGCCAAGACCCUAAAAGGACCAAUGAACCUAGGGCCCAACUUGCCCCUCUUUCGGAAUCUGAUGACACCCUUCCAGGAUGAUACCUUCAGGAGGACCAUGUCACCCACCUGAAACUCCAAGUCUGAAUGCCUCCUGUCGGCGUAACUCUUCAUCCGACUUUGCGCAGUCUGCAGUCUACUACGAACCUGCUGGAUCAACUCCGUCGUCUUUAGCACCACUUUGGUGCUCCUAAUGACACGCUGACUGACCUCGCCCUAGCAGAUCGGGGUCCUGCACUUCCUCCCGUAUAACAUCUCGAAAGGAGGGCGGUCAAUACUCGUAUGGUAUUUGUUGUUAUACGAAAAUUCCGCUAACAGAAGAUACGUAUCCCAACUGCCACCGAAAUCUAGAACACAUGCCCGGAGCAUGUCCUCGAGAGUCUGGAUCGUCCUCUCGCUCUGCCCGUCCGUCUGUGGGUGGAAAGCGGUGUUGAAAUGGAGACGAGUCCCCAUCUUGUCGUGAAACCACUUGCAGAGUCUGGAAGUAAAAUGGACGUCUCGGUCUGACACCACCGAGACAAACACUCCAUGCCGUGCCACCACCUCUCACACAUAAAUAUCGGCUAGCUUCUCCGCCGAUAUACUCUCCUGAAUCGGUAUAAAAUAAGCACUCUUCGUCAACCGAUCCACAACGAACCAAAUCGAAUCCACUCCGCGUGCAGUCCUGGGAAGCUUUGUGAUGAAAUCCAUGGUGAUGUCUUCCCAUUUCCAAACUGGAAUGUAUAACGGUUGCAUCUUGCCGUGAGGCCUUUGGUGUUCUGUCUUGACCUUCCUGCAGGUCAGGCACCUCUCCACAUACUAGGCGACAUCCUGCUUCAUGCAGGGCCACCAAUAAUAGGGUCGAAGAUCUCUAUACAUCUUCGUCGCCUAUGGAUGGAUAGAAAAUCGAGACUUGUGGGCCUCAUCCAUCAGCACCUGCCGUACCCCUCCCCAAUACGACACCCAAACUCUCCCAUGAAGGUUCAACAAUCCUCGACUGUCAUAGUCGAAGGAAGCUACUUGGCCCAUGAUCCCCUCACACUUCUGCCUCUCCUCCUUGAGGCCCUCAACCUGUGCCUCUCUGAUCCGCUCCAAUAAUGGAGUAAUCACUGUUAUUCUCAGACAUACAUCCCUAAUCGAGGCUGCUGCCGCCUUGCGGCUUAAGGCGUCGGCCACCAAAUUGGCCUUCCCUGGGUGAUAAAGGAUCUCACAAUCGUAAUCCUUCAAUACAUCUAACCAUCGCCUCUGCCUCAUGUUCAGAUUCAGCUGAUCCAUGAGGUACCUCAAACUCUUGUGAUCCGUGUAAAUGGUACAACGGACCCCAUAAAGGUAAUGUCUCCAAAUCUUGAGGGCAAACACCAUUGCCCCCCAACUCUAAAUCAUGUGUAGGAUAGUUAGACUCGUGAGUCUUCAACUGUCUUGAGGCGUAAGCUAUCACACGGCCUCGCUGCAUCAACACUGCUCCCAUACCUGUGAUCGAAGCAUCACAGUAGACCACAAAAUCCUCUACUUCCUCUGGCAGGGCAAGAAUCGGUGCCUCGCACAAUUUUUGUCUAAGGGUCUCGAAUGCUGCCUGCUGCUCAGGCCCCCAGUGAAACACCACUGACUUCCUAGUCAGUCGGGUGAGCGGUACAGCUAUCUUGGAGAAAUCCUGGAUGAAUCUCCUGUAGUACCCUGCCAAACCUAGGAAGCUCUGAAUCUCAGAUGGAGACUUCGGGACCUCCCACUGCAUUACGGCCUCUAUCAUGGCCGGAUCUACCAGAAUACCCUUCUGGUUGACGAGGUAACCAAGGAAUUGCACCUCGCGCAACUAGACCUCGCAUUUGGAGAUCUUCGCAAAAAGUCUCUUCCUCCUCAAGAUCUCUAGCGCCUCCCUCAGGUGCUCCUCGUGCUCCUCCUGGGUCUUGGAAUAAACCAAGAUAUCAUCAAUGAACACUAUCACAGACCGAUCUAGCAUCGGUCUGCACACGCGAUUCAUGAGAUCCAUAAAUGCAGUUGGAGUGUUGGUGAGCCCAAACGGCAUCACCACAAACUCAUAAUGACCAUAACGGGUCCUGAAAGUAGUCUUCUGCACAUCCUCAUCCCUGACUCGCAUCUAAUGAUACCCGGAGCCUAAAUCGAUCUUGGAAAACCAAGACGCUCACUGAAGUUGAUCAAACAAAUCAUCUAUCCUCGGAAGUGGGUAAUGCUUCUUCACCGUUACCUUGUUCAACUCCCGGUAAUCUAUACACAUACGAUGUGACCCGUCCUUUUUCACAAACAAAAUCGGUGCUCCCCAGGGCGAACUGCUCGACCUGAUAAAACCCUUGUCUAGCAGCUCUUGCAGCUACGUAGACAACUCCUGCAUCUCUGGGGGAGCCAAUCGAUACGGUGCCUUGGCUAUCGGAGCCGCACCAAGGAUCAGGUCAAUCCUGAACUCGACCUGCCCCUUGGGAGGUAUUCCAGGCAAAUCCUCUGAAAAUACAUCCGGGUAGUCUCGCACAAUCGGAACAUCAUCAACCGAUAACUUUACCUUCUGCUGGGCAUCUAUAUCAUAGGCAAUAUAACCGGCCCAACCCUGCUGGAGGUAGCGCCUCGCUCUCGCUGCUGAACACAUAACUAGUCCGCGCUGUGGCUUCUCGCCCUGAAUCACUAACUCUCCCCCAGUGGGAGUGCGAACCCUCACCAACUGUAGCUCACAAUCUAUCACCACCCCAUUGGGGCUCAGCCAAUCCAUGCCUACUAUAACCUUAUUCCCUCGCAGGGGAAUAGGGACCAAGUCCUCCAGAAACUGCUCAUCGAAUAACUGCAGCGAACAUCCUCUAUGUACCCUUGCAACCCUAAUGGUCCUAUCAGCUGCUAUCUCAAACUCAAGUGGAUAAUCUAGCUCCCUUGGAGCUCUACUAAACCUCUUGCUAAGCGCAAGAGAGAUGAAUGAUCGGGUAGCCCCCAAAUCAAACAGUAUUGUAGCCGAAAUGUCGUUCACUGAGAACGACCCCGUCACCACAUCAGGAGUCGCUCGCGCCUCCUCUUCCGUCAGCUGAAAAGACCUACUCUUCGCCACCGGCGUCUUAGCUCGACCCUGACGGCCAUCCGCAAUCCUCAAGGUAGCAGGAGCAGGUGCUGACACCUUCCCUGCAGCGGCUAAACUCGGACACUAGGACUUUUUAUGUCCCCUCUGAUUGCACUGAAAGCAAAUCAGAUCUGAUGCCGCAACGAAAGUAGUAGUGGUUGUACAAUCUCUGCUCAUAUGCCCAAUCCGGCCGCACUUAUAGCAGCCGGCACUCCCUACCUUGCACGCCCCAUCGUGCACUCUCCCACACUUGCCACACCGACCGUGGCUCUGCUGACUCCUAGCUCUGUGAUCUGAACCCUUGGGCUUUUUGCCCGAACUCCCUGAACCUGGAGCCGCCUCCAGCUUCCUCUUUCUCUCCAUCUCAAGGUCAAUCUCUCUCUUUCGAGCCCUAGCAAUCAUGUCAUCCAGCAUUUUACAGCUAGAUCGGCUCACAAACUAGCGGAUAUCACUCCGCAACAUCUCAUGAUACCGAGCCUUCUUCAUUUCCUCAUCAGCUGCGUACUGAGGAACGAGAAGUGCUCUCUCCCUGAACUUGGCGGUGAUCUCCGCCACUGUCUCUGUCGUCUGGGUGAGGUCCUGAAACUCCCUGGCCAACUACUGCACCUCGAUAACUGGUGUAAACUCAGCCCUGAACCUGGCAGUAAAGUCAGCCCAGGUCAUAGCAUCCAAAGAUGCGUCAUCUCCAAUGGCAUGUCUGACCUCCUCCCACCAAUCCCAUGCCCUGUCCUUCAGAAGACAGGACGCCAAUCUGACCUUGUCCCCCUCGGGACAUCUGCUCGUGCGGAAAGCGUUGGCCACAUCCGCCAACCAUCUAGUACUCGCUAUGAGGUUCCGCGCCCCGUGGUAAUCUGGAGCUCCACAUGCACGGAACUCCAUGAAGGUAAGCAUGCGUGGCCCCAUCAUGGCCUCUACCUCAGCACGGAAAGUGCUCAAUCUCUCGUCCAUCAACUCUAAGAUACCCUCCUUGAUCGAACCAAAGAUCACAUGAGUCUGCUUAAGUAUGGUGCGAGUAAUCUCUCAAGAGAGAAACUCUCUAGUCUGCUCAUCCAACUGCCCGACCUCUGGGCCUGAUCCUGAUCCCCCUCCGGCAUCUGAACUGCCGACUGCUGGCCUAGGGCGUAGUACCACCAUUCUGAAAACACAUCAUAAUAAAAUUCAGAAACAUAGAUAUAUCUCGAGGGAUCACUACUACCACAAGUUUCCUGGUCUCAUCUCAGCUUUCCUUGAUUCGAGUACGAAUCCUCUACUUUCAGUAGUACGGGCCCAUACCACCUUCCACAUCUAUCCGUACUUUCCUCAAGUAUCGCCUUGACUCCACCAAGUCACUACUACUGCUACUAAUCUCUGCUACUCCCAUCCUAGGCUUGUCCUAGGGAAAUCUCUGACUCUACCCAAACUAGUCCUCAGCUGCUGAAAGGCCCCCUUGUAAUGCCAAUUAGCCAUCACCUGAAUACCAUCACAUGUGGCGAGGCUCAGAUAAUCCUUCGAGUAAAAGGCCCGUCCCCACAACAGUUUAACUCAUACAAGAGCUGUGCAAUAGGGCCAGAUCUAGGACUCUGAGAUUAUUCAACCCUGUUCACAUGUGAUGUGACGUAUUCACCUAAUGGCUAACUCACAUCACUCAGAGCCCCACAAAGCAUAUAGUAAGAAGCAUUCAGACACAGGAAACUACUCAAGUAAUUCUAUCCUCAUUACAAGGAACUAUACUGGCAUACAAUGCUAAGCUCAUACUAUCAGGCAUAACCUAAUCAGGCUAUCCUACUGCUGUCUACUCAAAACUAGCAUGCAAUUUUCAUAAAGCUGAAACACAUAAAGCAGGCACAUAAGGCAUCCUCCUAGAUCCUUAGUCCUAUACUAGCAUGCUGUUCUACUGAAACUGAAACAAAUAAUCAUAACAAAAACUUGUAUGGGUAAUUUGGGAGUACUUACUUGAGCUCGGCUUAUCGCAUGCACCACACCCUUUUCCUCUCCUCAAAACUUUUUCUCUUUUUAGGUUUUUCUUUUUCAAAAUAUUUUUGAAAAUACUUUUGAAAAUCUUUCAACCAUUUCCUUAGUUUGAGUCCAGUCACACCCAAGAGUGUGCCUGAAUCCCUCAAACCAAGGCUCUGAUGCCAACUUGAAACAUCCCAAAAACACAACCCAAAAAUUUUUGUUCUUACAUAUAAUAAAAGUCAUAACACUAAAGGUCAUAUAAUAAAAACCAUACGUCGGGUAUCCCAAAAGACAUAAUAAAAUGUCAUAUCAAAAACUGUAUCAAAUCAUGUCUAAGUAUCUGAACAGAACUCCCAUGAAUAAAGUUGAAGCUGUGGUGUGUGCGAUGCCAUCAUCCCGAGCUCUUCCCUUUAUUUGCGGAAGUACCUGAAACCAAAACUGAAACUGUAAGCAAAAAGCUUAGUGAGCUCCCCCAAACUACCUCAUACCAAACAAACAUAUAAACAACUACUGGGCCCCCGCCCACUGUAUCGGACCGAAGCCCAGAAACUGCAUCGGACCGAAGUCCGAAACUAACCAGGUCCCUGCCCUCUGCAUCGGACCGAAAUCCGGAACUAACUGCCUCAGACCGAAGUCUGGAACGAACUGCAUCGGACCGAAGUCCGGAACUAACUAUAUCAGGCCUAAGCCCAGAACUGACUGCAUCAGGCCUAAGCCCGGAACUGACUGCAUCGGACCGAAGUCCAGAACUACUGAACAUAACAUAGCAUACACAUUUCAACUAGCAUAACAACAUAGACUACAUACUGAGUCGGGCCAUACCCGAAACACAUAACACACAAAACCUGUCUGAGCCACGAAGGCAUCAAACAUUCUAACUACUGCAUCGGACCGAAGUCUGGAAACUACUACUAAUUAGACGGGCCGGCAUUGUGGCCUUAGACCCAUUCCUACUGGAAGGAAACUCACCUCGUAGCCUAGCUGCUGAAAGAACUGCUCUGGAAUCUGUCUGCUGCGGCUCCGGCUUCACCCCGACUACAAUUUCCAUAAGUACCCUCAAUCAAAUACUGAUAAUAAUACUGAGGGUAAAAAGACUAUCUUACCCUUGGUCAAGGUCAACCUAUCGGUCAGAUUCAACAUUCAGUUGACCUGACUCGUCGAGUUUGGUCACCAACUCGUCGAGUCCUUACUCUCACUUUCUUGCUUCUUCCCGUUACUACUCGUCGAGUUUGGCAUAGACUCGAUGAGUUCCUCUUCGAAACUAACACUCAGUCAAUCUGCAUCCGACUCGCCGAGUUGUAUGUACAACUCAUUGAGUUCCCCUUCAACAUAUGAACACUCUGACUGUGACUCGCCGAGUUAUAUGAACAACUCGUCGAGUCUGUUCUUGAGGCAUGAAGAUUGCCUUGGACUCGCCGAGUCAGGGCAUUGACUCGCCGAGUUCUUCCAUGAAUGAGUCUAACCUCCAGCUCAUAGAGCCCAUCUCUCACUCACUGGUUCCACUCGGCAUAACUCGAAAAGGUGAAAACAGGGGACUCGCGACUCGACUCGCCGAUUCUGAAGAACGACUCGCCAAUUCAUAUACAUGCAAUCACUAUAUACUCGAUUCUGCUUGAAACCAGUUCAUUCCAUUCAUAGAUCUGGGUUCUUAGGGCUUGAUUAACAUGUAAAGUUUCCAACUUGGGGUGUUAAAACUCUCCCCCACUUGACUCAGACUUCGUCCUCGAAGUUUGCUGCCGCUGAAUCUGGAAACAACUUUNAAAGGUACUAGAUCUAAGCUUCUGGAACUCAAACCUAGUUAGAUCCGAAGUCUAUUCAUCUCAAUGAGUCCUCUAUGCUACUACCAAGCCAUGAAAUGGUUCAAGAAUAGCUUUAAUGGCUUUCCAAAGGGGAUUAAAGCAUAGAAACAGAAAAGGGUCGAGUUAUACCUCACUAUACUCUAAAAUGCCACAAGGAUCUUGGAUCUCCUUCUUCUCCUCUUGAUCUACCUUCCUUCUUCUCUCAAGAUCUUCAAAGAAUCACACCAAAACACACAAAAGGCUAAGAGAGUUCUAGGAUUUCGAGAAGGAUGCUCUAGGGGUGAUGGGGGCUGACUUGGGGUCCCAAGAAGUUGUUUAAAUAGGGUGCAAACCCUUGAAAUUAGGGUUUCAUCAAGACUAUCGGACUCGCCGAGUCCAGAAUAUGUACUCGCCGAGUAGCCAACUUAAACGUGCUCAAAAAUCCUGACUCUACUCGACGAGUCUGGCUACUGACUCGUCAAGUUCCUCUUGAAAAUUUGAAAAAUAAAUAUUUAAAUAACAUACCAUAACUUGNAUAUAUAUAUAUAUAUAUAUAUAUAUAAAGCAUUAUUUUCUACAAAUAUUACCCUAAUCAAAAAGUAUGUGUUAGUAUGAUUUCAUGGAUAUCAAGAACAUCGACAACAUCGUAUGCAAAAGUUAGAGGCUUUUAAAGAAAAUGUAAAAUCAGCAGGCUAAAAGUGAAAUUAAUGAAACUUGAAACACAACAUUUGGUGCCUUAGGAGUUGAAUUUGGAAUUUUGAUAUUUUUCUCAUGAUUGUAAUGCGAUUCUACACCUAAGUAUGUCUUUAACUCAUUUUGUCCAAAAGUUCCUUAAAGGGUCGGUCAGAUCUAUAACUAGUUUCCCGAUAAAAAAUCUUCAUACGAUUUGUUUUGUGGAUUACGAGACUCUUUACAAAAAGAUAGAAAAAUUGUAUGAAUAAGGAAAUAAUCCAGUAUUUGAUUCAAUUACAAACUUUGCCAUUUCACAAAAGUCUGACGAUUUCGUGAAAAACGGUCGAAUCGCGACAACCGGAAAACCAUUGUUACCGUACUUCCAAACGCUUUGUUCGCAUAGAUACGAAACUCAUUAGGUGGAUAUUUUUACGUUUUCGGACUAAGUUUAUCGAGUACUACAAAACUACGACUCCAAAAAUAUCGCGAGAAGUCGGAUCGUGGCGCUUGGAAUCGAGGGUCGAGAUGGCACCACACGGCUCGAUCCCGACAAUCCACAUUUCACCACUUGGCUUAUAAAUUGAGAGCAUGUUCGGCUAGUUCUCUUACACCAAACCAACCUAAAAUAUACUCCCAAAAAUCCUCUCGCUCCUCUCCACUUUCUGGCGACACAACCACUACCGCCGCCCAGUUGAGUCACAGCCUUUCGGCACCGGCCAACACUAGCCACCGACAUGACCCCCUCACCCCCUACAAGAGACUCCACUACCAACCCCUUCUAAUGUCGACAUCCCUUUUUUCGGUCCUUUUUUUUCAACGUCAUCGUCGCUGACGGUGUUUCCGACUAACUUUCCGGUGAUCAUACCUAUUUUCCGACGCACUUCCGUCCAUUUUCUGAUGGAAAAAUCAGCAAGCCCUCAUCCUCUUUUCCGUCCAGUUUAAGAUUCAUUUGAUGGCAAAGCACUUCCCAUUUGUUUCGAGAAAAAACAACAAAUUUAAAAUCACGCUUCGAGAUUGAGUUUCACGGCCCCAUUUUAAACCUUUUACAGUUUUGAGGAGAGAAAACAUUCUUAAUAUGGUUAUUUGUUCAUAUAAACCUAAAUCAUUUAUUAGCAUUUAUAUAAAAAUCUAUUAUUUAAUCGUUAUACUAAAACCAUCGCUAUAAUUGUCAUAUUUAUAAUGAAUCAACUACAUUGUUGAAAUACUGUUUACAUAAUAUGGAUAUUUGUUAUACCCUGUCGUUAUUUUGUCAAAAUAUCUAGAAAAAUAUUUAAACAACACCGUUACGUUGUUCGUAAAAUUUUAUAAUUAUAUAAUAUAAUUAAAUCUAUAAUUAAAUUGUUAUUUACCUGUUUUGGAAACAAGUGUUUAUUUAAACUAAUAUGAACAUCAAUUGAAACUAUAUACAUAUAACUGGUAUGUUGGUUUUACAUUAGUAAAAACCUGGUUUUACUCGUUUUACAGUCGUUAUGCUUCCGAAAUUUUAUUAGAAACUUUAUAGUAUUAUACGAUAUAAUUAUAAAACAUUAUUAUAAUUAUACAAUGUAAACUUUUGUCUGAUAACUCUGACACUUAAUACACGUUUAGAACCAAACCCCUUAAUGGCUUACAUGAGGCGUAUUCAUUAAAUAAGUGUAAUACUUUCUGAGACCCCACAUUUAUAACUAUUAAUCUCCAUGAGCAAGAGAGUUUUGUAUAGAUUUAUACGUGUUGACACCGCUAGCUACAUCUUUGACGGUCAAGUCACUGGUGAUAACUAUCUUAAAACUAUGACAUUCGAUGAACCGUCGUAAGGGGCAACAACUCAAACAACUCGGUUAUAGGGACUCAUGGUAAGGUUGAGAGCGUUCAAAAUGCAUAUAAGAUGAGGUAAAGCAUCUAUGUACAGUAAACCAUACUUAGAGGGUUUACAAGUACAAAUUCAUAUAAGUCAAAAAAACACUUAUACACAAAUACCACAAACUUGUAGGGUUUACAACUACAUAAUUUUAUAUAAGGCAUGUAAGCACUUAUACACAUACUUUUUGAGAUAUAAAAAGUAUUAUAUUAUAUGUAUAUAAGUCAAGUAAACACUUAUGAUAUACACAUACAUUUUGGUUAUAAAAAGUACAUUUUUAUACAAGUCAGAUAAACACUUAUAUACGAUAUAUAUACAUACAUUUAGUUAUAAAAGUACAUUUUUAUAUAAGUCAUGUAAAAACGUAUAUACAUCAUACAUAUUGUUUGGUUAUAAAAAGUACAUUUUCAUAUAAGUUGGAGAAGCAGCUAUAUACUGUAUAAACAUAUUCUAUUAUAAAAGUACUUAGAAUCAAAACCUAUGAACUCAACAACUUUAUGUUGAUGUAUUUUCAAAACGCAUGUAUUCUUAGGGAAUUAAGAAGUUGAAAGUCAUCUGCUUGGAACAAUCAUGGGAUUACAGUUCAUUUUUCAACUUUUCAUAAUUGCCUAUUAAGGCAUACUUAGUAAUUUAGAUUAUCAUGUACUCCUAGACUAGGGAUGUUGUAAUUUCACUCUUUCUUUAAUAAAAAGUUGAUUAUUAUGAUAUGUUGUUGAACUUGUUCUAUAUGAAAAUGACUGCGAUCCAUGAUGUCAUCCUACCGCCUGGAGUUUCCACCGUCAGUUGGGGGUGUGACAAGUGGGUUUCACAAUGUGAGAGACAGAUCAACUUCCCAACUAAACAUUGAUAGAUUACUAUAUUUAUAGGACUGUCUGCACCCAAUUUAUUCUUAUAUCCAAGUUCAAUUGGAGUUUUACUUGGAUUUCACCCAAGCAUGUAAGUUUCUUCUAAAAGAUCUAGUGUAUAUUUUGUUUGUGAAACAGAAAGACCUUUACAACAUCAUGCAAAUUCCAUUCCCCAAAAGUAAUUUUGUUCACCAAGAUCCUUCACCCAAAACUCUUUCGACAAUAUCUUUUUUAUUUCUUUAAUUUCUUGCUCAGUAUCACUUGUAACUAUAAUAUUGUCUACAUAUACGAUAAGAAUAAUAACUUUCCCUAGUUUUGAAUGUUUUAAAAACAUGGUUAGAUCGGCUUCACCUUGAGUGAAUUUAUUCUUAUUAGUUACACCUGAAAAACAUUCAAACCAUACUCAUGGACAGUGUUUCAUGACAUAAAGGGAUCCACUCAACUUACAUACCGUGUUACUUCCUGAUUGUUCUUCAAAUCUUGAAGGUUCACACACAUACACUUCCUCUUUAAGCUUUUCAUCUAGGAAUGCAGUUUAAUGUCAGUCUAAGUUUACUGCUUGGUAAAUUAAUAUAAGAACAAUGUUGAACUUUGUAAUAGGGGAAAAAGUAUCAGUGUAGUCAAUUCCAUAAGUUUGUGUAAACCCUUUGGCAAUGAACCUUGCAUUGUAUCUCUCAACCAUAUCAUCGGCCUUCUAUUUUACAUUAAACACUCAUUUGCAUCCUAUAGUUUGGUUUCCAUGUGGAUGAUCGACAAUGGUCCAAGUUUGAUUUUUCUUUAAAGAACUCAUUUUUUACAAUAUAGCUUUCUUCCAUUCAGGAUUAGUCAUUUCUUUUUCGAUUAUCUUAGGAAGAGAAAUAUUAUACCUAUUAGAAGCGAAAUCACGAUAUGAUGGUGAUAAAUUUAAGUUACAUAUAAACUUGGAGAUAAGAUGUUUUGUGCAUAAUUGAACACCUUUUCUAACAACAAUACGAUAAUUUAGAUCAGGAGAAGAAAGUGGAGAAAAGAGAGAGAGAGAGAGAGAGAGAGAGAGAGAGAGAGAAAGAUAGCGAUUCACCUAACUCUUUUUGUGAUGAUGGAUCAAGAAUAGGGUCUGAAUCAUGACACUUUGAAGGAUUCACGUUUACCUUUGUUUCUUGAGUUUGCUUUUUUUCCCUUGAGUAAACCUAUUGGAAAUAUAAAUUUUCAUGGGAAUUGACUGUGUUGAAGGGGUCUGGUGUUUAUUUUUGAUGUGGUGAGGAUAGUUUAUUUGUUUAAGAGUUAUUAAUUUCUAGUUUCGAUUGGGUAUGAGUCUAAAGGAACAUAUGCUUUUGAAGGUUUUAAAGGUUGUUCAAUAGCAGAGGGUAUGACUACGUUAGGAAUAAUAUUGAGAGUAUUUGAUUCCGAGAGAUUCCAUUAACAACUUUUUCUUCUCGUGUUUCCCCUAAAGUCAAGUUGUGAAAAAAAGGUUUUGACUCAAAGAAAGUCACGUCACAAGAAAGUCACAAAACCACUCCAUAGAAUGCCAAUAAUCCAACAAAAAUGAAUUACAAGCAUUAUUUCCAUCUGGAAGAGAGUUAUGAAACUUUAAAAUAAUUUUAAGUCUCAAAAAUCUAAUUGAUUUUGAUAUCCAAUGUUAAAAAAAAUUCCUAAAAACCCUAAAAGCCCUAGAAACCUAAAUAUAUAAAGUUUAACCUCAAAUUUUCUAUAAAAAUAAUUAUGAACUUUAUAAUCUCAUCUAAGAAUAAUUAAAAAUUAGGAAAACAAAAUUGAAUUCAUUAACAUUUAACCCUAUUUAUAAGUCAAAAAUCUAAGAAUUAUGAACAAAUUUGUAUUCAAGUGCAUAAUUUUAUAAAAAGUGGGAAUUUUUAUAAAAAUACAAGAUUUAUCAUUUUAAAUAUUCGAAGAGAGAAAGGGAGCCUCUCUAAAAUUUUGGCCACUCCCCUCCCUCCUCUCUCUUCCAUAAAAUCUGCACUAACUUUACUUCAUCCAUACUCCUUCUCUCUCUCUCUCUCAUACACACACACACACACACACUCUCUCUCUCUCUCUCUCUCUCAUUUCUCCCAAUACUUCCUCACCAUCACCACUCAAACUCUCUCUAUUCUUUCUCUCCCUAUCACUUACGAAAUUGCAACCAUAUAACACCAUUUUAAUCAAAAAUCUUCAUCAUUUAAAGUUGCUCUUCAAGGUAAAACCCUAAAUCCUUUACAUCUCCUUCAUUUGUCUUUAAAAAAUAUAUAGUUUUCUUGCAUUUUCGUCUCCUUUUACACCUUUCUUCAUGAUUUCUCAUAUACAUGCACACAUACACAUGGUUUUGAUGAUGAUUGUGGUAGGAUUUCACCCAAAAACACAAUGCAUGUUUGUUGAUGAUGAAAUUCAAUGACCAAAAUCUAUGUCAAACCCAAAAACUUGAGUUUUUACAUGUUUUAAAGAUCAAAAACCACAUGCAUCCAAAUUUUCUUCUUAAAAAAAAUCAUUUUAAACAAACUAAAUUGAUGCAUGAUCUUUAAACUAACAUGCAUGUGAUGAUCUUCAAGCUUAACUUCUAGAUGAACAAAGUAUGUUUUAAUAGCAUCAAAUAUGUUCAUAAAAGAUUUUAAUCCACAAAAUAUCUAAAACACCUUUUCUAGUCAAACCUGAUUUUUCACAGGAACUCAGGAACAUAGUAUGAUGAUCGGGAAAUUUUGAACUUGAUUUAUUAUAAGUUUGGCAAGAAACCAAGGGGAUAAAUCACAUAAAAUACUUAGGUCAAUAAAUCGUAUAAAAAUUACUGGAUGACCCAUAAUGUAAAUGAACAUCCCGCAUGAAGUUUCAUAAAAUGUUGCUACUUUUUACUAUUAUUUUUUUUUAGCUUUGUUAAAAUCAGAUAAAUCAUAAAACCAAGUUCUAAGACAUAACAACAACAUUUAAGAUUUUUCGCAGCUUCUUGACUCUGUAUAACAAUUAGAUAAAAAAAAUAUGAGAAUUUUUCAUAACAUAUUUCUAUUUUUUUACGAUUUAUGUGUAUUUAGUGGAUUAAAUCAGGGAACAAUAGCUAUACUUAUCCACGAUUUACAGUAGGAUCUCAAAUAAAAAGUUAAGUAAUUUUUCUGUAAUUUUUACUAAUUUUCACGAAUUAAAUGCAUAUUUAAGAGAAAAUAUGAGGGGAAAAUAGUCAAACCAUUCUAAAAAAUCAUGCAAACUAACCAGGUCAUUCUUAUUCAUUUUUACCAAAAUUAAAAAGUUGGAUUAUUUUUCUUCACUGUUUUAUUUUUAUUUCGAAUUUCUUGGCAUUAAACACACCUAAAAUCAUUAAAAAAAAUGGUUUUCGGUUCAAAAUUUUCAUUUUAAUUUUUUACUAGCUUAUAGAUAUUGUAUAUAAGUCACCCAAAGAGUUUGAGGAUUUAUUUUAACUAUUUACUAUUUAUUUCGAUUUUCUUUUGAUUAAACACAUAUAAAUCAUAAAAUCAUACUCUACUGUUUAAAAAAAUCUUUUGAUAUUUUCCCCAACUUAUAUAUGUUAUAUAACAGUUGUACAAAAAUAUUUAGAAUUUUUUGUUAAUGUUUUUCUAUUUUUCCAUGAAUUUGUGUUGAUUCAAGUGGGUUAAUUAUAGGAGAAUCAAUUAUACGUAUCUAAAACUCAUAAAAACUAUCUAGACUACAGUUGGAACAAAAAUAAAAAGUUUAGUGAUUUUUACUUAUUGUUUACUAUUGAAUUAGAAUUUCUUCGUAUAAUAGACGCUUGAAUUAAAAAAAAAUCGGGUUUUAUUGAUCAAAAGUGACAUUUAAUAGUUUUCCUAGUUUAGGGACACUGUGAAACUGUUACAAAAAAUUCUAAGAAGUUUUCAUGAUCAAUUUCUGUUUUUCCAUGAUUUUAUGAUUAUUCAAGGAAUUAAAAUUGUAAAAAAUACUUUGGCAUAUCAACAAUUCAUGAAAUUCAUUUAGUGGUCUUUGAUUACAACUAGAACUAAAAUAUAAAGUUUGUAAAUUUUUAGAACUGAUUUGAUUUAGUUUUGAAUAUUUAAUCCUUGGAACACCUCCUAAAAUGUUAAAUUCUAACAUUUCAAAAAUGGGAUUUUUCCACUUCAAUUUGUUAUGUAACAAAUUGAUUCAUGGAAAAUUAAAUUUACCGAAAAAAAAAUUUCAAUCUGACGAUACCAAAAUUUUGUCACAAAAUUGGCAUAAUUCUAUUGAAGAAGUUAAAUAUGCUAGUGUUAGAUUUCGAUUAGAGACUCACUAAAGUAUACCAUUAUUGUAUGAGAUCGAUAGUAGGUCGUGUGGAAUUUAGUUCAAGGCAUCGUUAGCAUCAUCUCGAAGCUUUGUGAGUAUUCACGACCCCUGUUUUUGGUUGUACAUUUUAGAGUGGAAAAGCAUGUCCAUAUUUAAUUAUGUUUGUUGUAUUUCAUUUAUCUUUUAUCAAAUUGAGUUACAUUUUCAUGUAUGUGUAUACAAUUGUGAAACAUGAGACCUUAUCAUAUCAAGUCCCCUUUUACUUCACACAACUCAUUAACUCUUUUGAGCCAAUGGUCAUUAUGAAUAAUGCUAUUAGGAACUUGACAACUCCUCACUUGUCUGUUUUUCAGAGUGCAUAUUACCAUGUCCAUCUAUGUAACAAUAUCGUAGAUCAUGAUAGAGCGUUUUACAGUCGUUGGGUUUGGGUUGUGCACUCAUCGUUAGUUAAUAUGGACAUAUAAACUUAUUUACACAUUACAUCAAAAAACUUUAUUACUUUAUUAUAACAACAUACUUUAUUACAUCAUUUUAGCCACAAACUUUAUUACUCAUGAUGGUAAUGUACUUCUGUUAUGGAAACCUUUAUCAAUAUUUAGACUUCCUUGAUUUUAAAAUGAUGUUAUGUUAUAAACUUGUGAACUCACCAACUAUUUGCAUAGUUGACCCUCAUUUUACAUGCUUUUUCAGGAAUCAUCUAGUAAAUGGCACCUAGACACACAUCAUGUGUAGAAGCAUUAUGCAUGUGUUGUAUUUCGAAUAUAUUGUGAUUUCCUUUUUACAAAUUGUUCAAAACUUACUGUAAAAAGUUGUAAUGCUUUUUAAUACUAUGGUUGGUGUUCUCCUUUAACUUUUGCAAUGAGACCUGUUAUAUUGUCGUACCUUGUGUUUUUGCUUUAGCGGGGUGUGACAAGUAGCAUCAUAUUAAGAGUAUGUGUGAGAUGGGAAUGGAGAGUAGAACUUUGUUUGAUGACAUUGAUGACCAAUGGGAUACAUCUUACGUACAGGAGUACUAUAUUAGUAUCCCCCUCCUUUUUAGAUAGAAAAAAUGGUAUUUUUUUAUCAGGAAGUCGUUAGGUGCCCGAAUGUCCAUUAACUAAACCUAGUCUUAUGGAAUACACAAGCAUAUUUAUAAUCUGUAAGUGUUAAUGAAUUAUACUAAUCUGAGGAGACUGGAUUGUAUGUUCAUUCAAUGCACUCUACCCGCCUCAUGGUUGCCUUUAUUUACUAUCGCUUGCUGCCAAGGGCUCCCCGAAGCAGUACAGUCAACUAGUUACUUACAGUAGUCCAUCAAGAUAGAUCUUAUAAGAUCAUUGUUAGAGGAUAAUUAUGUAAGGAUCGACAAGAUAGACACAAGAUAGACAACUAAGGUUAAAUUUUCAUAUAGAUAUUUAUGAUGUGUUAUUUGAUAACAAAUGGUUUUUUAGGUUAUUUUUAUGGAUUAAUAUUAUAAUAACAUUAUGGGAUUGAAAAUCUCUAUAUAUCUCACUAGGUUUCCCAACCUGACCGACUCAAUUUAUAAACAUUACAGGUAUGUGAGUACUAGAAUCAAUGCGCAAGGACAAAGUUUGAAAAUUCAAACCUUGAUUUAAUCUUUAAGAUCAAUGUUUGCUCUUAAUUAAAGGUUCCAGUCGAUUCUGGUAAUACUAGUGAAGACAUGAAUGAAUAUUCAACAAAGUACUCAAAACUAAAUGAAGUAAACUAUGAGUAUAAUCAAUGUAAAGACAUUUAACGAACAAGAAGAAUGUUAUGAAAGAUAUUGACUUGAGAUAAAAGUGAAAGAGAAUUAAAGAGAAUAUUUUCUAUAUUUGGAGUAACAAUGCAUAUGUUUCUUGUCAUUCAAAAUACUCCUUAAAUAGACUAAGGAGGUACAUCGUACAGACUUAGAAACAUUCCUAGGACUGGUUAAUAAUCAGUUACUGACAACUGAUUAUCUAAAAGAUACAAAAAGAUAAUUCCUAUGAAACGUUACAUAAUUAAUAAGGCCAUGAACAUUAAACGUUCAAAGAGACAACUAAUCCUGGUUCUUCACUUCAUCUCGGAAUGAUCUCCAUCUCGUACUCCAUCUCUAUCUCGGACUUCACCAAUCUCGGAAAUUGCUGACUUCGGAUCUUCAUUCUUGUGAUUGCUAGAGGUUCACUUUUCAUGUUUCAACAAUCUCCCCUAAGUGAACUUAGCAAUCAGGUCAGCUUAGUUGGCUUCUUCAGUGAUGAAUACAUGAGCUCUGUAUAGCCAGUUUCGGACUUCCAGAUACCACUGAAGCUGACUGGUGAACUUGGUCUUCACAUGCUCCGGGGCUUCUAACUUAGUUGCAUUUGUGAUAAACUUUUGAAGAACUCUUGAGGGAACGAGAUGCUUGUCCAGGACUCAGAAGAAGUCCUUUUUCUUUGUCUUCUUUUGCAAGUAGACGUAUCCCAACACAGGUUCAUCAAUUGGUCCUUCUGCUAAGAUUUCAGCUUCAGGCAGCUUGUAAUCAAUUUUUGCCAAGAACUUUUCAGUUCCGAACAAAUGAGCCAGUUCAAAUUCACAUCUACAAAACACAACAACAUUAUACUUCAGUUAGUUCAUUACAGCACUGUAAGCAGCAAUGCUCAUCUGACUGUCUUGAUGAGUUCGGAAAUGAGCAGCAAUGGUCAAGAUGUUAUUUAGAUUAAUGGAGGGGAAGUCGACGUUCGUGAUGGUGAGUUGUGUUGACUUGUUCCGAUAAAUGUAGUAGCGAUGCAACAAACAGUCUAAGUCAAAUUUUGUUAAGAAUUUUCUUCCGAACGCAUAUAUUUUUGUAAUUCAUUUCCGAGACCACACUUCUUUUUGGGGACGUUUGUUCCAGGAGUAGAAUUUCUUCAAUUGUUACCUUUCGAUUCUAAUGAUCAUUUGAGGAUCAUCUUUUGGGUGGAGAGGAGCAAACUUGAUUUAGAACUUGCCAUAAGGAGAGAUGAGGAGAUCAACCAUGAAUGGCACAAUGUCCAAAUCAUGAACUAUUCCUUCACGACAAAGUGGGGAAAGCCCUAGCAUUGGAUUGGGGUUGUCUUUGAGACCUUGAAUCUAAAUGCUCUCUUCAAGGGAUUGAGCUAUUUGUGCUUGAGACCAACCAUCAGGCUUCUUGGUGGUCAGUUCAUAGCAGUGGAAUUCCAAGAUAGGCUUUUUUUUCCUUUAUAUUGUUGUUUGUUCAGAACCAAGAUGACAUGCUGCAUAUUUUCAUCGAUGGUAAACUCUAUAGGUGGAGGAAUCAAAGGCUCUUCUGGAAUGUUUAGGUUUCAGAAGUGGAGAACCUUCAUCGAUUAGAGCUAUUCUUGGUGAGGGAAUUGGAGGCAACAUUGAUGAGGUGGCUCGAAAUGCCUCAAUUGUGAGCUUAGUCUUUAUCUUAUCCGUUUCACGACUUCUUUGUAAACCAUCAGCCAAGGAUGAUGGCCAUGUGACUGCACACCAUACCCUUUGCUCUUCCUCAGAAAGAAAUUUCACCGAAAAUUUCUUCUGAGCUUGAAUUCCUACCACAACAUUUGUGAUGUACUUGACAUCUUCAUCAUCAUCAUCAUCAGGUGGAGUACCUGUGGAAACAACUUGAACAGAUUCAUCAUCCGAUUUAUCUCGGAGUUUAAACUUUAAGGCAAGCUUCCAAGAGAUCUUUGAUUAAAAGGAUGUUUACUUUAUUGAGACGUGUGCAAAAAGUGUGAUUUUCAGUUAUAAAAAAUAACCGUUUGAGUUAUUGUGAAAAAACAUUUCAGAAAUAAUAAUGAAAAACCUUUUGAACUUCUUUUCAAGAAAAGGAUCUCAGAGCAAGGAAGUUAUGAGAUGAAUUGUCAAAAUGAUCUCGUAGCAAGAGAGCUCCAAGAUGAAUUGUCAUAAGAUACUUCUGAGAUGAGAAAAAAUAACUUGUACAUGAUAUAGAGUUUGAGAUUGCACAGAAUCAGGCUGAAUAUCAGAGGUAAAAGGUAAGAAGAUCUUAGAGGACAUAUUUUAAACAAAUUUUGAGAUUCUGAUACAUGAAGGAGCAGAUCUCGAACAAAGGUAAGAGGCGAACACACAUUACCAUUUCGGACUUGAAUUCCGAGAUGACCUUCAUAACACACUUUUUGAGAUAAAUUUUGAGGCGAGAUCAAACAACAUACCAAUGUGACUAUAUUGGUCAUAAACUUUAAAAGUUUGAGUGAGUUGUAUAACUUAAACUAGAAGAGUAGGUUAGAUAAAAAGACACAUAAAACGGUCCUAUUUAUUCUGAAAGGAAACGAUUCCGAGAGGAAAACAAUUCUGACUUCAGAAUAAUUUCACCUCCUGAUGAUAUCAUCAGAGAGUACAAGCCUCUUGAAAGAAUUGAGGAUCAAGAAACAUCAUACCCAUUUUGUUCAGAAAACCAUUGAGUUUGGUUUUGUCGAAUGCCUUAUUAAAGACAACAACAAUUUCAUUGUCAGAUGGAACAAAAAUAAGUUCAAUUUUUUCUUUUAUAACAUGAUAUUUAAUGAAAUGGUAUCGUAUAACAAUGUGCUACGUCAUGGAGUUAUGAAUUGGAUUGUGUGAAAUCGCAAUGGCAAUUUGAGAAUCACAAUAGAGUGGAAUUUGUUGGAACUAGUAACCAUAAUCCAAAAGUUGUGAUUUCAUCCAAAAAACUUGAGAGGUGCAACUAUCAGCAACAAUGUAUUCUGCUUUGGUUGUUGAAAGUGUAAUGUAGUUUUGUUUCUUAGAUGGCCAGCUAACCAAUCUUCCACCCAAAAAUUAACAGCCACCAGAGGUUCUUUUUCUGUCCAAUUGAAGACCACCAUAGAUUGAAUCGGAAUAUGCUCGUAGGAGGAAACUCUCAUUUGCUGGGUACCAAAUUUUGAGACUCUUUGUUCCUUUGAGGCAUCAGAAUAUUUGCUUGCCCGCCAAAAGAUGAGACAUCUUUGGAUUGACCUGAACUCUGGCACACAAACAUGAAGAAAACAUGAUGUACGGACAACUUGUGGUUAGGUAGAGUAGCGAUCCAAUCAUUCUGCUACACUUCUUCUCAUCAACAUCAACACUUGACGGGUCCGAAAAGAUCUUAUGUUUCAAACCCAUAGGUACCUUUGCAGAGGCACAGGUGUCUAUUGAGUAUUUCUUAAGGAGCUCAGAUAUGUAUUUCUCUUAGUGAAUAAAUAUUCCUCUGUUGGUUUAUUUUACUUGGAGACCAAGGAAGAAACUUAGUUCACGAUUCAUACUCAUUUAGAAUCGACUAACCAUUAACUUGGCAAAAUCAGCAACCAUUGAUGAAUCCGUGGAUCCAAAAAUAAUAUCGUCCACAUAGAUUUGAACCAUCAUGCGAUGUUUUCCAUUUGAUAUUCGGAACAGGGUAGGAUCGAGAAUUCCUCUUUGAAAAUCAGAACGCUUGAGAAAGUCAGUGAAAGUCUCCUACCAGGCGCGAGGAGCUUGCUUGAGGCCGUAAACAGCUUUUCAGAGUUUGUAGCAAUAGUUCAAAUAGGAAAGAUUGACAAAAAUGGGAGGCUGUUGGAGAUACACAUCAAUAUCAAGUUUGUGGGCUGCAUAGGCAACAAAAAUUAUGAUAGAUUCAAGACGAGCAACAGGAGCAAAGGUCUCUUCGUAACCGAGUCCUUCGAUCUGAGUGAAUCCUUUAGCCACCAAUAUUGCUUUGUUUCGAAUGAUAACUCUAGUGUCGUAUAGCUUGUUUCGGAACACCCAUAUCGUACCAAAAAUGGGGUGAUUUUGAGGAGCAGGGACAAGAGUCCACACUUCAUUUCAUUCAAAUUCUGAAAACAAUUCUUGCAUGGAUGUAAUCCAGUCAGCAUCUUCUAGUGCUUCCUUGAUGGAUUUUGGUUCAACCAUUGAGAUAAAGGUAUAGAAAUGACAUUCCAUUUGGAUGUUGGUGGCAGAACGAGUUUGAAUACAGGCGUUUAGAUUUCUAAUAACUUGGUUCAAAGGAUGAUCCUUGGUCCGAUAUGUAGUCUCGGAAGCUCUACUUCAACAAAUGAUCCGACAUCAACAAUAGGAUUAUGUUGCUCCCCCUGAACAAUUUGAAUUUGAGGAUGAUGCUUCCCCUAAACUUCUUAACCUGAGAUACCAACGUUAUCUUCAUCCGGAAAGUCAAAGAAAUUUGUAUCAUCUUGAUUGUUGAUCAGAGUGGUAUCAAAUUCAGCGAAUUGAUCUGUUGCAUCUUGAAAUCCAUCCGCAUUUGAUUCAAGGGAAGGUUUACCAUUCUCCCCCUCAACCUGAGAAGGUUGAAAUGGUUCGAAAUCAAAUGGAGGAAACAUGGGGGUCAGACCAGAAACAUUUUGGGAAAUAGGAGCGACAAUUGAUGAUGAUUGUAUUGAUCGAGAUUCCGAAUCAAGUGUUGUUUUGAUUUCCCGAACAAGGUUUCAAAAUCGACUUCAUGAAUUAUUUAAGGAUUCGGACAUCCUGGCGAUGGAUUAUCGGACUCCAUGAUGUGGGUUGUGACAUCAAAGCUUUCUUCAAGAACACGAGUUCGACGAUUCAGAACUCGGUAAGCUUUUAAUUUUGCUGAGUAUCCAAGAAAGAUUGCUUCAUCGGCUUUUGGUUGAAAUUUCGUGAGAUGAUCACGAUUGUUCUUUUAUAAAGCAUCGACAGCCAAAGACGUGUAGAAAAGAGAUACACGGCUUACACCAUUCAUCGCUUCGUACGGUGUCAUAUUGAGGCGUCGAUUGAUGAUGCUUCGAUUCUGAGUGAAGCAAGCAGUGGACAUGGCUUCAGCCCAAAGAUAGAAUGAAAGGUUUGCAAAGUUAAGCAUCGAUCGAGCAUCUUCAACAAGCUUCAGUUUCUUCAUUUAACCACACCAUUUUGUUGAGAAGUUUAGGGAGCUAAGAAAUCAUGGUCAAUACCUUUCUCGAAGAGGAAUUUUUCAAUGGUGAAAUUGGUAAACUCAUAACCAUUAUCACUUCAGAUUCGUCGAACCGGCAGACUGAUGAGAACUUUAAUUCCUUUGAUAAAAUUGAUAAGUUUCUAGGCUAUUUUUGACUUGAGCCUGAGGAAGAAAUCCCAGGUGAACCUUUUAAAAUCAUCCACAAUCACAAGAAUGUAUUUCUUAUGAUGUAGACUUUCAACAAUGAAGGGUCCACACAAAUCUAUAUGAAGCAGUAUUAAUGGUGCUGAGAUUGAUUUUUUGAUGAUGAUAGGAUGACCUUUCUUUGAUUGCUUCCCACAUUAACAGGCAGGAUAGAGAUGAUCAUUUUCAAACUUGAGGAGAGGUAGGCCUCUGACCAGUUCACCAGAAACAAGAUAUUCAGAUAUCGGAAGUUUAAAUGAGCAAGCCUUCGAUGCCAUAACCAACUGACAUCAGGAAUUUCCUUUGAGAGUAGACAGAGUUAAGGUUUUCCAAUGAUCAUGUUGAUGUCAAGAGGAUACAUGUUCUUGUUGUGAUUUGACUUGAUCAGACAUUCUUUUCGGUCUUCGGUCAUGACAUAACUGUGUUUCUUGUAGAAUUCAACUUGACAAUUUGCAUCAAUAAGUUGAGACAUACUAAUUAGGUUAUGCUUCAGGUCAGCUAUGUAUGCCACAUUUUAGACAGAGAAGUUUAUGUUGGUAUGGAUGCCAUAACCUCAGAUCCGAGAAAUGGAGUUGUUGUCAUAUGUCACAUAGCCAACAUUUGAUGAGAGUUUGAGAUCACGCAAAAAAUCUUUUUGCCCCGUCAUGUGCAUGGAACAAGCACUAUCAAUAUAUCAUAUUGUAUCUUGUUCCGAAGCACAGAGUGCCUGCAAAAAUUAGUGAAUUUUGGAUUUUUUAAGGCUCCGAGAUAGAUUUUGGGACUUAGGCACGGGCUUUAGACUUGGAUUGUGACUUUUGAGCAACAGGUGUCUUGGAGGGCUUGUUCCGAGAUCCUUUGGGAAAGAAGCAAAAUGCCAAAGUCUUUUCAUUGAUACAUAAAUCAUAUUCAACAACAGGUUGUUUAGCAACAACUUUUCUUUGAUUGACUAUUUUUGAAGCUGUAGGAAUCACAGUGUUACUUGAAGUUGCAAUAUCUUUUUCAAUACUUUUAGCUCUCCACUCAAAUUGUUGUUUUGAAUUAUUUGAAAAUUUCUGAGUAAUGGUGUUUUUAACAAAUCGUUCUUUGUUUACUGCUAUUGAUGGUACAUUUGGUUUCGAAAGCUAUUGAGGUUUAAAAAUCGUACCAUCAGAUUUAGCAAUGAAAACAGAAGAAAGAGACCGAGGAGAAUUAUUUCUUGUGGGACAAGUGUCAACAGACUUUUUCGGAAUGGGACUGACAACUUUGUUUUGAACUACCAAACUAGGAGGAAUGGAUGGACUUUUAAGAAUCUUAACAGGUGCAAAGGUGUUGUGGUUCCUAUUGGAUGGGCUCACAGCCCGAGAUACUUUCUUCUUAGAAUUCUCAAUGAAGCUAGACUUUUGUCUUGACCUAAUUUCCUUUUUGAGUGAAUUUAUGUCUUCUAUCUUAGGAUCGGCAAUAUCUUUUCUAUUCAAUGAAGGUUUCUUCCUGGAGUCUGAUGAUGACUUGGAAGUUUGGCCAGUAGAUGGGUUGUUGAACAUGGGUAUAAUUGGCACUAAGGUGGUUUUUGAAAUUACUUGAGAGUCCUAAACACAAGAAUCGGAUUAAUUAUCACUUAUGGUUUCUACUUCAACGUCAUUGUCUAAGGAUGCCCAAACAAAAUCUGAUCUAUCCAAGUCAGGUCCAGUUGUCUCUGGAAUGAUUCCUCAACAAGACAAUUGUUGGGAAGAUUGUGGGUCGGAAUUUGAACUAUAGUGUGGGGAAUGGUUGGAGAAAAUUUUGAGGUCUGAUUCAGGUCCAGGGGUAUCAGAGGAGGAAGAGGCGUGGAAUCAUGAAAUUUGGCAACUAUUGGUUGAAACUCAGAAAUCAAAGAUGAGAAUCGAUCCGAAGUCUCAGGAAGGGGUGAUGUCACACCCCAAAACCUGAACGGCGGAAACGUUUUGGGGCGGAGGACGUCAUGUACAGUAUCACAACAAUGUAAAAUAGUAAACAAGCAACAACAUCAUCCAUUGCAUUAAUAAUAGAAUUAUUAUACAAGUGUUGUCUAUCAAAUUUUGAUAAAUACUAAAGCAUAAAUCAAAAUGAGAGAUGGGUCUUGAACGAGCUCCAUCUUCUCUAAUCCUUGCAUCGGUACCUGUCUAUAGAUGACCUGAUGAUACAAGUAAUUUUGAAAGCGAGUAUCAGCUUUGAAGCUGGUGAGAUCAUAAGUAUUUUAGUGUCUUAAUUUGUAUGUAAGAAAUUGUUUGUAAAUGAACUAUAAGUAUGGAAAAAUGUAGAUGAACUGUAAGUAUAAAAAUGUUUGUAAAACAACUGUAAACGUUUAAAAACCCUAGAAAUCCAUAUGAUUACUACUUUAUAUAAAGGUGUCUUCUACCAAGACUUAACUGUUCUAAAUGUUCGUUUCUUGUAAAAGUGUGUAAUUUUCCCAAGUGUAACUAUCAUUAUCAAAAUAUUGUUUUUACAUUAAAUGUUUAAGUGAAAUGAUCACUAAAUAUAUGAAAAGGGGAAAUUAAUGUAGUACUGUAGUGUUGUAUUAUAGGAACUACUGCUGUACUAACUACCUUAAACCGGAUUUAUAUUAAGGUAUCAUGUGAUUAAUUGCACCAUACUAUUGACUGGUAACAACGACAUACGAAUGGUCGUAAAACGGAAUGACGUUUGGCACCCACAGACCUGCAGGUCCGGCUGUAGCUAGCAGCAAGGUGUAGGAUAGUCAAUCCAGUAUAGAUCUAUACGCAAACUCACGCUCUCCCUCCAAGAGAAUUUUGGCUACAACUCGGGCCAUGACAUUUAAGGCAUGCUCUGAUACAGUGGAUCACAAUUGUUAACGUAUUCAUGUAUAUGUAAUGUAAUGUUACUUGUUCUAGUAUCGUUGUAUAUGUUCUCUUCCUAGUAUAGUUGUAUAUGUUCUCCUCUAGUAUAGUUGUAUAUGUUCUUCUCUAGUAUAGUUGUAUAUGUUCUCAUAGUAGUAAGUAUUGACUCAUGAAUGAACUGACUCAUAGUAUGAUAUUAAGUUUUAGUAAUAGUUCUAGUAUCUUCCUAAACUACCCAUAUGGUAGUUUACUAGUAAUCUAACUGGUACGUAUGGACAUGGAUGUAAACCCUUGCUACCCAAGGGCAUGGGAUGAACUGGAAGGGCCUUUAUGACUAUAUAUGUACAUAUGUUAUAUAACUAAUAUUUAAACGACCUUCGGACGAGUACCCGAUAUCCCACCAGACCACAUCUCAAGCGCGAAAAGGAAAUAGGGUGGAUAGCCUUCCUAAGUCUUUUAAACGUUUCUUAUAUAACUAUACAUAUAGAGGCAUGCAAUUUAUAAUAUAAAAGAAUAAAUAAGUUUUUUAAAACCUUUUAACAUAAUUAUUAUCUUAAGAGAAGAUCGACUUGAUGUCAAUCUAUAAAACGGUUUGAAGGCAUGGGUUUGAUAAAACAAUUUAGUAUAAAGAAACAUUUGUUUGAAACACAAUUGUAAAUAAGUUUGAAAUAAAACAUAUAGAGUAAAAUGUACAGUUUAAUAAGGAGUUUUAAACAUAUAAAGUAUUUAUGAAAAGCAUAUAAAGGAAACUAUUUGGUAAAACGGCUAAUGAGUAGCCAAUCAUUUGAAUGCUGCUUAUUAAUCACAUGUCAUUGAUAUAAUAAUUAUCAUAAUUCUACUUGUAUGCCCCCCCCACCAUAAAACAUUUAAAAAUAGUUUAAAACAUUAAUUAAGGGAUAUGAACUCACCUGCAGUAAGUGAUUGGAAUUGAACGGAAAGUUAUCGUAAGGAAUGAUCGGACAAGUGCUUGGUGUCAAGUGAAGAAUUUAGACACACACAAUGAUCCUAAUUACAUAUGAAGACAUAUGUAUAUAAAUAACUAGUGAUUAAAACACUAAUUAUACAAUUAUAAGCAUUUUAAUGCGAGGAAAACACUUUUGGUCAAGUGCUAGGAGGCAAAUGGGUUGCAACAAAGGAGUGCAAGACCUCUAAUGGGGGUUUAUGGUCAAAUGACCAUAUGAUUUGGAGUUUUCAAGUCCCUAUAUUAUCAAGGAAUGCAUUAAGGAAAUUGUCCAAAGCUUUAGGAGGAUUUAUGGCACCAUUUGGCACCAUUUAUUGGAAUUCACGGCCCUAGAGCAUCUUGGGCCGUGAACACCCUUUUCUUGGUGUUUUAGUGGUGUUUGCUAGCCCCAAACACACUAGGGUACUUGUCCUAAUUUGUCUCUUGGCUUAAGGAGGAUUUUCAAGGCAUUUUGACACCUAAACAUGGAGUUCACGGCCCUAGAACAUCCUUGGCCGUGAACUCACUUUCAUCCUUGAUUUUAAUUGAUUUUGAUGUCCUAAACAUGAAAUGGUAGUCCCUAUGUUGAGUUCUAAGGAUUUGAGGGGCAUUGGGACACUUUUGGCCCUUAAAAUGGAGUUUACUCCCCAAGUGUUCUUGGGUUGUAAACUCCCAAAUCUUGGGGUUUUGGUCCAAUUUUGAUGUUUCUAAACACAAUCUAAGCUAUAUAAUAUAACUAGAUCGAAGUACUCACAAUUUGGGAUAAAAACCCGAAGAUCUGUGAGAGAGAAUUUGACUUUUCUUUAAAUGGAAAUGUAACUAAUGAACCAAUAUGGUUCAAUUUUCUAUAUAUAGUCCUGGGAUUUUUGGCAGAAAAUAUUUUUAUUCCCGGAAUGAACUCUAAUAUCAUAGAGUAUCAGAAUAACAGUGUUGCACGAAACCCUGGUGCAUCCACUCUCCCGAUAUUUCCUUAAGUGUAAAUCCUGAAAAACUGCCAAACUUAUACUCGAAGUCUGGAAUUUCACUGUAACUGUUCUACUUCUAUUGGUUUGAUAUGGUUUGUUCAGAAUGGAAAUUUCGGGUUGUCACAUCGUCCCCCUGUUGAAGGGAAUUUCGUCCCGAAAUUAGAAUUUAGGCAAGGAAGUAGGUACGAAUGAUCGAGUCGUGAGGAGGAAACUUCCUAAUUGAUUGGUUCUAGCGCACCUAAGUGAAAUCGGGUUCUCGGUUGGCAAUCCAACGAACCUUCACUAACUGGCGACGGCGUUGCUUCGUCCGCUUGACCUCUCGGUCGAGGGUCACUACGGUUCUAAUACGAAGGCGAGGAUCUCGACGAGUGGACUUACAAGAGUCCUAACGGAAAGGUAUGGUUUCACGAUCGAGACGCUAAGAGUAUAAUGUACGUUACUGAGUUCGCGGAGUAGGUCUAGUUUGCGAGAUACAGGACUGAUUCUGGUAAGAAUCUCGGAGGUCCUGUCUAUCUUGGAUUUAGCUUUCCACGCUUUAUGAAGCGUAUUAAGCCGUUCCCGAGUGAGACUUCCUAAAGAAUUUGGUCUCUCACUUGGAAUUUCCAAAGGUUCUUUCUCUUGCUUAACAUCCCAGUCAAGGGCCACUCCUUGCUGGGUCAAGUUCAUAUGGUUUCCUGUGAUUUGUGAGGGUUUCUAGAUGAACUAUGAUAGUAGGUCUGUAAGACCUAGAAUUUGGCGAAUGACUGUCGGCGCCUCCGGUGUCGACAAAUGCUCAACGGUUUUGACAAAUUGAAAAAGUACUCAAAAUUUACCACGUUACUAACAGUGUGUCAUAGAAAUUCGACUCUUCAAUUUCAAAACUCGUGCCUAGAGAACUUCGCGAAAAGUUCCUCUGAAGGUAAUGUUUCCAUGGGUUUUCUUCUUACUACGAGGGUAGAUAAGUAAGUCAUUACAUGGAGAAAUGACGAACUGAUCCAAGUAAGAAAGACGUACCCUACUCAUUUAGCUCAUGAAAGCUAUGGGCGUAUUGGUCCUAUCCGAAGGGUAUCACUACGGACUCGAAGUGUCCGCAUCGAGUUUGGAAGAUAGUCUUCCGGACAUCCUUCCCUAACACUCGAACUGGUGAUAUUCGGAUCUCAGAUCCAUUUCUGAAAGUAAUUCUUUCCUUGCGUUUGCUCAACCAUUUCAUCUAUGCGAGGCAGAGAUAACGAUUUCUAAUGAAAAAUCUUGACGGAGUCCUCGAUAUCCGAGGCACAUACGAUGCAAUCCGUCGAUCUCCGGAAGAAUAAGACCGGGGUUCUCCAGGGUGAGAAGCCUAGUCUUCUAAUUCUAUUUUUGUGUAGUUCGUUAAGUUGUCAGUACUGUUCUGGUAUCUCCGUGGGUGUUUAGACUAUUGGGCGAUCUGUUUACAAGAGUCGUAUUGGGUUCUAAGUUUGUUCAUAUGACGAUGCGAUUACUCGUAGGCUUAGGCAGUUCUCCGUCCUGAAGUUCAUAUUAGAAUUCAUACAUGUUUUCACAAUCACAAUCUCGUGUAUACGAUAUGUAUAUAAUUAAGAUCGAAAAGGUAGUCGAAUAACUGAUUCUUCUUUAAGCUCACUUCCUUUCGAGGAAAAAGAAGUUAAAGUGGAAUCAUCAAUUCUAAAUCUGUAGAACCUUGAUUAUAUAUCCCUCUUAUGUAUACAUUCCUCAGUGAUAGAUCAAUCACAUGAAUCCUUGGAUUAAACUUGACGUACUGCAUGAGUGGUACUUGGGGGAUUUCUUCGGAAAGAAAAUAACUAAGAGGUACUCCUGGCAUGAGUACUUUGGUGUUCUAAUAUGACGGCUUCGCUGGAAAGUGAUCUAGAAGAAAGCGACGUACGUAUGAAGCUGUUUUUGUGAGGAUCACAUUGAAUCGAGUCGUAUGAUAAUGUCGAAAUCAUACUGAAACUUAAAGACAUUAGAUUUGAACAUAAGACGUUUACAGACAAAACACAACCGUGCAACCAUGAACAGAGUUACAGUACUUUAGACUUACGACAAGACCAUUGCUGAGAAUAAGGUAUACAACAAAAGACAAGUAUACGCAGCACGAACAUCCUUAUACAGACAUGAUCUAGCAAAAGGUAAGACUCUAGUUGCACUAGUUCUGGAUAGUUUAUAAGUAUGUUACAACAACACGCCUAAGUUACAUUAACGAGGGUUCCGGAGUAGGCUCUCCUGCAGCUGUGAUUCUGAGAAUCCUCCCAUCUGCGCCAGAGUUCUUUGCUAUAGGGAAAUCCCUCUUGAAGUGACCUAUCUCACUACAUUGGUGGCAUGACUGGCUAGUACUAGAUUUGGUGGCGGGAGUGCGGUGCUUAGCCAGUGUUAUGUGGACACGAGUGCCUUCCUCAUUACUCCACUUUCAAAAUUGCUUCCUAAAGCGUUCUGCCGGAGUUGCCACUGGUGGAUGUGGCAUGGCAAGUCUUUCGGCUUUCUUGCGCUUCUUUAGGGCUUUACAAUAUCGUCUCUUCCUUUCGAUCUUUAGGCUUCGCAAGUCCAUGACUGUUGCCAUUUGUCGGUUUCCCGGUUUGGUACUACCAUCGGAACUCUCGACUCCUUUCUCAGUCUUGUUUGUGUUGCCUGAGUUGAUGUGUGUAAGGAAAGUUGUCACAGCAGCUGCUACUGCAGCUUGUAAUGUAGCGGCGUCAACAUGGAGGAUAGGGGUUUCGGUACUCGGCUGAUCUUUUCUAGAAGAUGCCAUGAUUCUGUUUCACGGAGAGAAAAUAAAUUUGUGAGCGAUUCUGGUCGACCCUAGGUGCACGGCGAUUGUUCAAUCAAAUAGUAAGAGUAUGUUCUCGAAAGUUUGACCUACAUCCCUAUGAUGCAGUCCUAGCAUGGAAAUGGAAGUAUGAUCGCGAAGGUUUGACCUUACAUCCCAAUGAUGCAGUCCUAGUAAUGAGUAGAAGUAAGUUCGUAGAAUGGUCUCAAAACGUUUGUCGUUCAAGCCGAGGUAUCGUGGGUUGGUGAAUAAAAAGAUCCAACCACUGAAAGAGACUUGGAAAUGUCUCUGGAUCUAACUUGCUAUAGUCCAAUGACUUGACUAAAGCAGGUUUCAGAUAGACUCCAAUGAGAGUAUGAUAAGAGUACUUAAAUAAAGAAUGACACAAAAGUUAGCCGGCUGUCAAUAUCUUUGAUAUUAAUGACGUAAAGAUUCAGGAAAAUGACCUUGUAAAGGUCUUACAUCAUAUCUAGAGAAGAUAAUUCUUGACAGCAUAAGGACCUAACCUACAGUACUUACAGUGCAAGGUAAUUUCAUAGAAAAUGCCACAUCGGGCAAAGAUAGAAAACGAUUACAUUCUAACAAGGGAAGUAAGGUAAAGAAUCUACUACUGACGACGGUUAUCCCUCAGGUGAACUCUCAGUUCAGCCAGUUGACGUUCUACAUCAAGUAGGGUUCUUUCGUACACCCUCUAGCGUACUCAGAGCUCUAUNUUAGCAGUGCUUGCAACAGGGUUUCAUGGUUUCUCUCUGAUCACUCGUGAUCAUCUUCUAGACAAAUGUUGCGGAGGGUAUGCAUUCUAGCAUCGGUGACAACUUCGGUAAUCUGAUGUAGGGCUGUCCUGCCUUGAAUCUCAUUUCGGGCCACUCCGUAGUCCAAGAUUGGCAAGAUUCUGUCUGCGGAGCCCCCAUUGCUCAGGUAAUAAAAGCUUCGGUCACCAUCAUAAGGCAUGGGCUGAUCUUGUCCUUGGCUCCAUGUUUCCAAACAUUCCACCCAUGGAGGUGUCGGGCCAUGAAAAGCCGGACGAGGGUUAGGAAUUGGAAAGGGAGCUGCUUGAGGUAGGUUCUCAAUCUCUGGUUCGGAGUUAGCAUCGUCCGAAAGGUCUUCAUCAUGGUGAUCAUUCAAAGGGAUAGGAUGAUCAUUAUCUGGUUCUUCUCCAAACCAACCAGCAAUGACUUCGUUCGGAAGAUACUGGUUGCCGUGGGGAUGGAGUCCAGCCAUGUUAUCUAAGCGAGAAUUGGGGUAAGAAAAUAGUUAUUAGACGAACUAUCUAGAUAAUUAGUUAGAAAAUCUUCAUCAGUUACAUAGCUAUUUGUGAAGUGCAUACCAGUUAUAUGUAAUCGAAACAGGAUAGGCCUUCGAAUAUGUGACCUUAACUCCAAAUUCACACAGAAUCGGGGUAAAGUAAAAUUUCACAGAUUCUAAGUCUAUAACAUCCUAAUUACAUAUAUCCUCAGUGUAUCCACUUAGCAACUAUCAACUUAGUAAUGAAGAUCCCGUUUUAGUUCUCAAGUAUAACGUACUUAUAGUAACACCAAAUACUCCUAUAGUAUUUUAAGUUUAAUGUUAUGUUCUACUGUUCUCAUUGUGGUAGGGUUGGUAAGAUUUUAGACUUGUUGCAACCACACAACUACACUUAGGCACAUGCUAGUCAACCCUCGGAUAAUAUAGUUGAUCAGGCUAUAUCUUCCCAGUUUUGACCAUAUGUCUCUAAGCCCACUUGUGUUGCCCAACAAUCGUAAUUCUUUUGUACUGUCCUAGUAACACUGAUUUUAGUAUGAAUGCAGGCACGUAUACUUUAUUAAAUAUUUUAUUAUUUAAAGUAUAAACUCUUGGUCAGAGUAUUUUUAAUCCCUUAUGUAUUUAUAGUUAGUAUAUCUUUUAUGGGUUGAUAUACUUAAUUCACUAUAAACAAUGCUCUGAUACCAAUCUGUCACACCCCAAAACCAAGAACGGCGGAAACGUUCUGGGGCGGAGGACGUCAUGUAUAGUAUCACAACAAUGAAAAGUAGUAAACAAGCAACAACAUCAUCCAUUGCAUUAAUAAUAUAAUUAUUAUACAAGUGUGUUCUGUCAAAUUUUGAUAAACACUAAAGCAUAAAUCAAAAUGAAAGAUGAGUCUUGAACAAGCUCCAUCUUCCUUUCUCCUUGCAUCGGUACCUGUCUAUGAUGACCUGAGGAUACAAGUAAUUUUGAAAGCGAGUAUCAGCUUUGAAGCUGGUGAGAUCAUAAGUAUUUUAGUGUCUUAAUUUGUAUGUAAGAAAUUGUUUGUAAAUGCACUGUAAGUAUGGAAAAAUGUAGAUGAACUGUAAGUAUAAAAAUGUUUGUAAAACAACUGUAAACAUUUAAAAACCCUAGAAAUCCCUAUGAUUCCUACUUUUAUAUACAGGUGUCUUCUACCAAGACUUAACUGUUCUCAAUGUAGUAUUCUACCAAGACUUAACUGUUCUAAAUGUUCGUUUCUUGUAAAAGUGUGUAAUUUUCCCAAGUGUAACUAUCAUUAUCAAAAUAUAGUUUUUACAUUAAAUGUUUAAGUGAAAUGAUCACUAAAUAUAUGAAAAGGGGAAAUUAAUUUAGUACUGUAGUGUUGUAUUAUAGGAACUACUGCUGUACUAACUACCUUAAACUGGAUUUAUAUUAAGGUAUCAUGUGAUAAAUUGCACCAUACUAUUGACUGGUAACAACGACAUACGAAUGGUCGUAAAAACGGAAUGACGUUUGGCACCCGCAGACCUGCAGGUCCGGCUAUAGCUAGCAGCAAGGUGUAGGAUAGUCAAUCCAGUAUAGAUCUAUACGCAAACUCAUGCUCUCCCUCCAAGAGAAUUUUGGCUAUAACUCGGGCCAUGACAUUUAAGGCAUGCUCCGAUACAGUGGAUCACAAUUGUUAACGUAUUCACAAUUGUCCUUGGUACGGGAGUAUGGAUAGUACAUAGUUAUUCGUCAUUAAUCCGGGAGUAUGGAUUUAGACAUUGACAUUUGUCCCUAAUCCGAGAGUACGGAAUGGGCACAAAUAUUGAUCCGAGAUUAUGGAUUAGAUCCAGGAGUAAGAGGUAAAAUUUAAGGUUCGAGAGUAUGGAUAGUCUCGUUGUGAGGAUUGACGGGGUGGGGUAAGAGUCGAUUAUAUAUAUAUAUAUGCGGUAAUUGUAUAUUUUGUGAGAUCUAAAUUAUAUAUAUGAUAUAACAUUGUGGGAUUGAAUCCCUAUGUACUCACCAGGUUUCCCAACCUGACCCACUCAAGUUUAUUUGUAUCAUAUGUGUCGAUAUGAAGUUACAUUACACUUAAGGAGAUAGGAAUCACUAGUGAUAAGGAAUGUAAGUUCUGUUUAUGCUUAUGUUUAUGUAUUCACGAUGACAUCCCAAAUGUUUUAAAAUGAAUAAAAAUACAUUUCUUCAGAAAUGCUUUGAUAACGUAUUUAUCAUGUUUUCUGGGAACAAAUUCCACAACAUUUUUAUUAAAAGAGGUACUCUGAUUUUUAUAAAUCAUAAACAACACCAUUUUUUCUGGCCAUAAAAAUCGGAUGUCAUAGUUGGUGUCAGAGCAUUAGUUUAAGCGAAAUAUGAAUAAGGAUUUAUUUCUAGACUUAAACUUAGAAUGCUAAGCGAUAAUCGUGAGGAGUGUGUCUAAUAAAUUUUGGUAAUACACCUGAAUACACACAAGCACUAGCUUAUUUAGGGAAAAUGCAUAACACACUUUUAUGUGCUAAAUGAUUUAUGAUAUGCAUUAUAUGAUCGGAUCCAUGGUCUGUUGCCGACCGGAUUUGGAAACUUUAUGUGCUCAGAUUUCUAAACGUUUGAUUACAGUAUUAAAACUGGCAUGUAACCUUUCGGAGUGAUAAGGAAAUUUACACGUCGAUCGUAAAUAAAAUUUGCUUAUCUAAAUACUCGUCACUACACACGGAAUGUUUAAAUUGGUGUAUAGAUCGACAUGGUAAGGACUCAAAGCGGAAUCGGAAAUGUUAAUGGAGAUUAUAAUCAGUGGCUUGUAAUAGAAUGUGCACCAUAGGUAGCAACUGGACCUAAGCCAAUCAUAAUGUCCGGGGUACAAGCGAUGAUCCAGAUGAGGUUGGAUCGUCAAAUAGAGGAAACAAGGUGACUACUACUACAAGAUAGGGAUGAACCUACGAUGCCUAUUGAGCCGCCCGAUGUAACAACAGCAAAAUUCAAGUCAAAAUUUAAACUUUUAUAAAACUGUAAUUGAGUAUACUAAGUAGUAGAUAUCGUAACAAGGUUUUCAUACAUAUAAAGAACACAAAAAUCCGAGUUAUAACGAAGAAGUUAUAACCAUUCUAAGAUUUCCGACAAAACCGGAAACACCGAUUAAACGAAAAACGCGAAGUUUCAAUACAAUAGCCUUUAGCCUUAAGUAUCUAAAUGAAAGUCGUAGGUAACAUUAAACCAUAAACGUACGUAAAAAGAACGUCAAAAUCUGACUUCGUAUGAGGAAGUUAUGAUUUUUCGAAGUUUUUGACCUAGCAGUAGACAGCUAAAAACUCGAAAUAGAGAUCAAGCGGUCUUUAGCCGAAACAAACUAAAUGAGAAUCGAAGGUCUCAACAAUAGUAGCGCAAUGGUAAAAAGUCUGACGAAAACGGACGUCGAAUGAAGAAGUUAUGGAUUUAUGACGGAGUUUUCGUGUCCCGGCCUACUAAAAAUAAUAUAUAAGUAAUAUAUUUAUAAUAUAUUAAAAAAACUCAAAAUUAGCCAACGGAGUCUAAACAAGAGUUGUAGAGCAUAAUCUCACCUUCGCGGCGAUAUAAAGAACGUCAAAAACGGAGUUCAUAUGCGAAAGUUAUGAAUUUCUGAAGUUUGAGCGCGAAUCCCGACUCUGUCAGAACUCACGACGUGAGUUUUGGAAAACUCACGACGUGAACAGUCUGAUUGACCCUUCCAGAGCCACUUGACGUGUGACGCAUGCCAUGACGAAUUCGGGACAAACUCACGACGUGAAUUGGCAAAAUUCACGACGUGAACUUCAAUUUUUGGCCUAUAUAUAAAAAUCAAAGCCUUUAGAGUUUGGCUGCUCAUUCCUAACCUCUCUCCUACUUAUACUCUCUGUAAAGCCCCACUAAACCACCCUGAAGCCUCGGUAACACUCCUGGAACACGACGCAAAGCUCUAUACUCCCGAGAUCCCCGAGAAUCCUGAAAUUUCAAGUCUCUCUUGUCGAAGUUCUGCUCGAUUCUUCUCUCGUCUACUUCAAAUCAACCACUUCAAUCAAGUGAGUUCAUACCCCUACAACCACACUUUAAAUGCUUUUUAAAUGAUUUUGAAACACUUUUAAGGGGGGGAAUACAAGGAAACACACGACUAAAAUCAUGUGAAACAUCGACCUUUUGCUAUACUUUUCAUACUGUUGUUUUAACUAUCUUAUAAAGUUAUUAUCAUGCAAAACACCUCACAACACAACUUUACCCUCUGGGGAUACAAUACGUUUUAUAAAUAGAAAUAGGUUUUAAUUAUACGUUUGCAUACUACAUCAUAUCAAGAGUAACCAUUUCAAAUAUAACAUGAUGCUUUUACAAGAAAACUCAACUCAUCAUCACGUUUUUGUAACACGGUAGAAAACGAAAUCAUUUUAUACGAACGAUUUUCAUCAUAUUACUCGUGAACUUGUUGUUAGCAAUCAUGUGAUGGCAUAUGGCUUUGUUUGUACCAAACGAAAGUCCUCACCUAUAACCAGAGUCUCCUGGAGGGAGAGCGUGACAAGUGUGUAUAGAUCUAUACGGGGCUGACAACUCCGCACCCUGACUGUUAGCUACAGUCCGUCAUUUGGGGUGACAAACGUCAACAUUAGGUACUGCGUCUAGUAUGGUUAUGAGGAACUCACAACACGCGGAAACAAUGACUCAUGCACGUAGUAAUACUUAACUCAAUCAUGCUCGAGGGGUAAUAACUAUAUUCUAGGGUAUUAUCGGCAUGAUCAAAACUCAGGUUAAAACACUUCCACAACUAGUUUUACUUAACAAUAAGACUGCACUUCACUUUUAGGAAAAUAAGGGAUUUUCCUGGUUCAAAUACAUUCAUUUUGUACAAUAACGAUUUACAACAUCAUUCUUUUGAGCAUGUCAUAGUUUCUUAUAGCUUACAGUCUUGGUCAUUUGAGACUGCAUUUCACUUUUAGGAAAAUAAGGGAUUUUCCUGGUUCAAAUACAUAUAGUACAUACAACAAUCUUUCAAACUCAUUUCAUACAUCUAAUAGGAAAUAAGGGAUUUUCUGAAAAACAUACAAGCACUUUCGAAUGGCAUACAUUUUCUCAAAACACCACUUAUGAACUCACCAACUUAAAUGUUGACACUUUUUCUUUGAAAUAACUUGUAUUCUCAGGAAACCGCUAGACCAGGUAGCAACUACUUUUGAAGACUAACGUGCUGGCGUUAUUAAUAUAUUUUGGAUCACCAUAUUGUAUUUGAUUUCUUUUGCAAACAUGUAACAUAUACAAUCAUGUAAACUUUUCAAAUAUAUUUAUAUUAUGGUGGUGUGUACUUUCUUUACUAUUCAAUUGUUAUGAUAUUUGACAUGACGUCCUCCGCCCCCGAACGUUUCCGCCGUUCUGGUUUGGGGGUGUGACAGAUUGGUAUCAGAGCAUUGUUUAUAGUGAAUUAAGUAUAUCAAAACCAUUUUUGGUAUACAACUAUAAACACAACUGGGCAAAAACACUCUGAGUAAGAGUCAUACUUUUAAAAAUUAAAUUUAUUUAGUUUUUGUAAAGUAGGCAUGCAUUCAUUUCAUAUUAAUAACAGGGUCAGUAUCAUAAUUAAAACAAUAUAGAAGUAUUAUAAAUAAGUUGUGCAGUGCAGGUAUGCCUUGGGACAUGUAAUCGGAACUGGGAAGAAUAUAGCCUGAUCAACUAUAUUUGUCCAAGAGCCGACUAACGUAUGCCAAGGAGUGUCUGCAAUGGACAACAAAUUUAAAACUUACCAAACUUAUAAACUUUAGAAUCAAACAUAACAUUUAGAAUACUAUAGGAGUAUUUUAUGCAUACGAUAGUUUAACUUUGAUGUCAACCUUAUGUGCCUUAGUUCUAGACAAUCCUUAUCUCCCUAUUCUCGUACAAACACAAUGGCCGGAUUUCCACCUAGCAGGAGACCCCUGCUACCCAAACCAUACAAUCCUUAAAAGACUUAUUGUCUUCAUUGUUAUUUCUUUUGCAGCAAUGCCGCCUCGUAGAUCUACACGUCGCAUCAACAACGUAACACAUACGCCGCCGCCACCACCCCUACAAUAUGAUCCUGUCAUGGUUCAGGCUGCUAUCACUACAGCAGUAGCAGCUGCUCUUACGCAGAUAAACACUAACGGAGCUGGUGGAACUGGAAGCAGUACCAACCACUUAAAUCAUGGCACUGGCCAUGGUUAUAUCAGAGAAUGCACAUACAAGGAAUUUUCGAAUGCAAAGCCAAAAACUUUCAACGGGGUAGGAGGAGUCAUUGCACUUAUGCAAUGGUUCGAGAAGACCGAAACGGUCUUCGAGAUAUGUGCAUGCCUAGAGACCAGCAAAGUCAAGUUCGCCGCUUGCACUUUCUCUGAUCGAUCCCUCACCUGGUGGAAGGGACAUGUGGAUGCCCUAUCUCUCCCAGUUCCUAAUGCCAUGAGCUGGGAAGAUCUUAAAAUCUUGAUGCUAGAAGAAUACUGCCCGAGGGGAGAAAUCCAAAAAUUAGAGCAUGAGAUAUGGAACCUAAGGAUGACCGGAUCGGACGUAAUCACUUACACGGCUAGGUUCAAUGAUUUUUCAGCUUUGUGCCCAAGUAUGGUAAAUGUCACACCCCCAAACCUGAACGGCGGAAACGUUCGGGGGCGGAUGACUUCAUGUGGUAGCGUAGCAAAUGAAUACAUAGUAAAGAAAGCAAUGCAACCAUCAUAUAUAUAAUUGAAAGUUUACAUUUAUCAAAAGUUACAUGUUCAAAACCCAAUUACAAUAUGAUGUCAAAAUACGAGAUUAAACUGGCGCCGCAGCAUCCCUUCAACAAAAGCGAAAUGAAUACCUGAAAUUACUGAUUUCCUGGGACAUACAAGUAAUUUUGAAAGAGUAGAUCAGCAUUUAAGCUGGUGAAUUUCAUAAGUAUUUAAGUGACAAUGUUUGAAUGAAAUGAAAUGUUUUAUCUUUGUUUGUUUGUGUUUAGAAAAUCCUAUAUUUUCUACUAGUAUAAAAGUAGCCUUCACUCAAGACCAAUGUUUGUUUCCAAAAUGUAUGUAAAUGUAAAAUAACCAAUGAGUUUGAAAACCUUGUAAAUCAAUGCAUUUUUAAUACCCCUUGUGAGUUUUAUAACCAUACUAUUGACUCUGAAUGCCUAUACACAACGUUCUUCAGGCGNGAUUGAUCACGGUGUUAAACAGGGUACUAUUACCGCUGUCUCGGAGCCACCGAAGGAUAUAGAGGACCGAAGGAAACCCUGGGAUAAGAGGAAGAGGGAAACCAUGCAAGAGAACCCCAAGAGGCAACAGUUAGUGACAGCUUAUUCUGUUACUAUCCCUACCACCCCUACACCCACAAGGUCAUACAACGGCAACCAGCCUAAGUGCAACCGAUGCAACGUUCAUCAUCACGGACCCUGUCAUGAAAUGCAUUGCAUUGGGUGCAAUAGUAAGGGACUCACCGUCCGCUACUGUAGGGAAAUAGCCCAACCAACCGCUCCAGCCGCAAAUGUGGGAGUAGACCGUACUUGUUAUGAGUGCGGAGCAACGGGACACUUCCGACGGAACUGCCCGAAGGCAAACAACAAGAAUGCUAGUGGAGGAGGCCGGGUAUUCGCAAUGGCCCAAGAGGAGGCUAUUGCAGACCCCACGGUUAUUCUCGGUACAUUUCUCCUUGAUAACUUAUUUUCAUACAUUCCAUUUUGAUAGUAGGAACGCAGAAGAGUUCCGUGAGUCGCAAGUUUAAAAAUCUACUCGAAUAAACACCCCAAUCAUUAAUCAAAACUUUCAUAGUAGUAAUAAUAGAGAUAGACUAAAAAGAACUAAGAACACAUACGUAGAAUGCGCUAUCCCAUAAACGAACGUCUUACAAUGAGAAGUACCGAUGUCGUCAUUUGACGUGGAUUGGUGUGGCCCUACCCAUACCAGUUCCAUGUGUUAUAAAAGACCCUUUCACUUUAACCAUCGAUUAUCACGACAAACCCGACACUAACCCCAAUUGGUUUCUAGUUUCAAAACCCCGAGGUACUCACGUGAGGAGUACUAUAUCCUUCGUGACCUUCCCGAAGUAUUACCAACCGACUAUUUAGGAAUAGCACACGUACGACGAGUCAAGCUAAAACUCGGAGACUAGGAAUGAUUACGGUUAUCCUAUCACUUCAAAGUGUGUAUGCGAUUGGUAUACACAAAGCGAUGAUAGACGAACCAGGUAUGAAAUACCGACCUAUAUUGCUAGUAAACAAUGCUAACAUUUAGAUGAACAUAGGAACCCAAAACCACACGACCUAUACCGGUCAAAACAACAGACAGGAUAAUGAAGGUCCGCUGAAACACCCACGCUAGGAACUAGAUUCACUAGAGAACAAGAAGAACAAAUGGAUCAGAUGCACAUACACCUUUCUUCAAAUUUAGAGUCCCAGAAGAAAUGCGAAUUUCGGGACGAAAUUCCCUUUAACAGGGGGAUAAUGUAACAACAGCAAAAUUCAAGUCAAAAUUUAAACUUUUAUAAAACCGUAAUUGAGUAUACUAAGUAGUAGAUAUCGUAACAAGGUUUUCAUACAUAUAAAGAACACAAAAAUCCGAGUUAUAACGAAGAAGUUAUAACCAUUCUAAGAUUUCCGACAAAACCGGCAACACCGAUUAAACGAAAAACGCGAAGUUUCAAUACAAUAGCUUUUAGCCUUAAGUAUCUAAAUGAAAGUCGUAGGUAACAUUAAACCGUAAACGUACGUAAACAGAACGUCAAAAUCUGACUUCGUAUGAGGAAGUUAUGAUUUUUCGAAGUUUUUGACCUAGCAGUAGACAGCUAAAAACUCGAAAUAGAGAUCAAGCGGUCUUUAGCCGAAACAAACUAAAUGAGAAUCGAAGGUCUCAACAAUAGUAGCGCAAUGGUAAAAAGUCUGACGAAAACGGACGUCGAAUGAAGAAGUUAUGGAUUUAUGACGGAGUUUUCGUGUCCCGGCCUACUAAAAAUAAUAUAUAAGUAAUAUAUUUAUAAUAUAUUAAAAAAAACUCAAAAUUAGCCAACGGAGUCUAAACAAGAGUUGUAGAGCAUAAUCUCACCUUCGCGGCGAUAUAAAGAACGUCAAAAACGGAGUUCAUAUGCGAAAGUUAUGAAUUUCUGAAGUUUGAGCGCGAAUCCCGACUCUGUCAGAACUCACGACGUGAGUUUUGGAGAACUCACGACGUGAACAGUCUGAUUGACCCUUCCAGAGCCACUUGACGUGUGACGCAUGCCAUGACGAAUUCGGGACAAACUCACGACGUGAAUUGGCAAAAUUCACGACGUGAACUUCAAUUUUUGGCCUAUAUAUAAAAAUCAAAGCCUUUAGAGUUUGGCUGCUCAUUCCUAACCUCUCUCCUACUUAUACUCUCUGUAAAGCCCCACUAAACCACCCUGAAGCCUCGGUAACACUCCUGGAACACGACGCAAAGCUCUAUACUCCCGAGAUCCCCGAGAAUCCCANAAUCGUGUGAAACAUCGAUCUUUUUAUAUACUUUUCAUACUGUUGUUUUAAACUAUCUUAUGAAGUUAUUAUCAUGCAAAACACCUCACAACACAACUUUACCCUCUUGGGAUACAAUAUGUUUUAUAAAUAGAAAUAGGUUUUAUUUAUACGUUUGCAUACUACAUCAUAUCAAGAGUAACCAUUUCAAAUAUAACAUGAUGCUUUUACAAGAAAACUCAACUCAUCAUCACGUUUUUGUAACACGGUAGAAAACGAAAUCAUUUUAUACGAACGAUUUUCAUCAUAUUACUCGUGAACUUGUUGUUAGCAAUCAUGUGAUGGCAUAUGGCUUUGUUUGUACCAAACGAAAGUCCUCACCUAUAACCAGAGUCUCCUGGAGGGAGAGCGUGACAAGUGUGUAUAGAUCUAUACGGGGCUGACAACUCCGCACCCUGACUGUUAGCUACAGUCCGUCAUUUGGGGUGACAAACGUCAACAUUAGGUACUGCGUCUAGUAUGGUUAUGAGGAACUCACAACACGCGGAAACAAUGACUCAUGCACGUAGUAAUACUUAACUCAAUCAUGCUCGAGGUGUAAUAACUAUAUUCUAGGGUAUUAUCGGCAUGAUCAAAACUCAAGUUAAAACACUUCCACAACAAGUUUUACUUAACAAUAAGAUUGCACUUCACUUUUAGGAAAAUAAGGGAUUUUCCUGGUUCAAAUACAUAUAGUACAUACAACAAUCUUUCAAACUCAUUUCAUACAUCUAAUAGAAAAUAAGGGAUUUUCUGGAAAACAUACACACAGUUUCGAAUGGCAUACAUUUUCUCAAAACACCACUUAUGAACUCACCAACUUAAAUGUUGACACUUCCUCUUUGAAAUAACUUGUAUUCUCAGGGACCCGCUAGACCAGGUAGCAACUACUUUUGAAGACUAACGCGCUGGCGUUAGUAACAUAUUUUGGAUCACCAUAUUGUAUUUGAUUUCUUUUGCAAACAUGUAACACAUACAAUCAUGUAAACUUUUCAAAUAUAUUUAUAUUAUGGUGGUGUGUACUUUCUUUACUAUUCAAUUGUUAUGAUAUUUGACAUGACGUCCUCCGCCCCCGAACGUUUCCGCCGUUCUGCUUUGGGGGUGUGACACCCGAAUUGAAUGAUAGGAAGCCUAAGGAGGGAAACUAUAGCAGAACCAUUGGUCAAGCUGAUCCGUCGGUGAUUAGGAGGAGCAACCAAGAUGACCGAGUCGAGAGGAAUGGAUGCAAGUAUAAAGAUUUUCUAACUUGCAUGCCAUCGACUUUCACUGGGAAGGAAGAUCUUAUCAGAGUUAUGGAUUGGAUCUUGAAGAUGGAAUUAGCCUUCAUGACAUGUGGUUGCAAAGGCAAGCUACAAACAACGUUUGCAGUGCUCCAGUUCAGAGGAGGCGUUGUUCACUAGUGGAACACCCUGGGGAAGACUCUAAGCCUCAAUGAGCCCUUGUAACUGACUUGGACAGAGUUUUUGGUGCAUUUCAAGCGCAAGCAUUGCUCAGCCCAAAAUCUGCUCGAGCUUGAAAACCAAUUCCUGAAUUUGAAGAAAGGAAGCAUGUCCAUCGAUGAAUACACCAACAACUUUACGGACAAAAUGGAGUUUGCUUUGCGCCUUAUCCCAGACGAGCUGACAAAAAUCGACAAAUAUGCAAACGGACUUCCCUGGGAGUAUGCGGUACCAGUACGACAGACACCUACUCUAGAGGAGUCUAUUUGGGCUACCAAGUCUGUUGAAGACAUGAUCAAGGGAAGAUCCACCAGCAAGGUUGAAGUUGGUGAGAAGAGAAAGUUUGAAGGAUCCACAAGGUCCGACGAGAAGAGAAAGUUCUCAAAGUCUGGUUCGAAGAAGGAGCACAAUGGUGUGACAAGUGCAAAAGGAAGCACAUUAGGAGAUGCUCUAAAGAGAUGACCUGCUUCAAAUGCGGGAAGACUGGUCGUUACGCUAGCAAAUGCACAACCAAGAGAGAAGUUGGCUUUAAGUGUGGUGAAGAAGGACACUUCAAGCAAAACUGCCCAGAGAGAGAAGAAGCCACAAAGCCAAAUAUGCCACCAAAACCAAAGGGAAGAGCAAUUCAAAUGAUCCUUGACGAUGCAGAUAACAAUGCAAGGAAUCAGGAAUAAGAAUUUUUAUAUCCAAAUAUCAAUUAGCCAUGUAGGUAGUACCACGUGGUGAAGCCUGUUAGAGGCAUUUCAAUAAAUAAUAUAAACCUUCGUUUUGUUGAAUGAUUGUGUGAUUUUCUUGUAUGGUGACUUGGAUAAACUGAGGGAAAAUACAUGGGACGAGUAUGAGCAGGUGUGGCUGGUAGUAGAGGCCUAUACUACCGGAAGCACAGGACUCAUGUUUGGAUCAGGGAAAGUCACAAGGUUACCAAGAAGCCAGUAAUUGAUUUUGUUUUGUUCAUGUAUGUCGUUACCAUUGUUUCGGUGAUGACUAAGAAUAUUAUUGUUAUUUUGACCCUAGUGGUCAUAUCAAAUCAAGUCCGACUAAGAUGAGUAUGUUACGAGGUUCAGAGAACCAAGAUCGAUGUAGCAUUUGAUUUAAGCCAGAAGAUUGGAAUGAAAGAUAAUCGAAGCGAUCAGUAGAAGUAUCGCGGUCGCUGUUAACGUAAGAAACUUGUAGCUAGAAGUGUUACAUACUAAAAGGUGAUUAUAUCACAUUAGGACAUUAAGGAAGCUAUAUUUCGUUCUGUAAUUUGACUCUAAAAGACCUGAGUCUAAGCGUUGCAUCAUACGAUGAGAGGUCAUUAGAACGUGACCCAUCGGUCUAUUAUGAUAAUCGAAAUAAGAAACAUAUCUUAAGUUGUUAAGAAGAAGAAGGAGUCUCCAAUAAGGGUCGAGAUUGUGACAGGAAGGUCAUGAUUGAAUGCCUAAUGUGAGACAGAGUGUGUGUGCAAGAUCAAGCACCGCCUGCAGUCAAGAAGUCCAAGAGUCAGAUACUCAUUCGAAGAAACAUAGAGGUUACGAUUAUUACCUAGGAUGAAGAGAUAACAAUAUGGAAUCAUUGUACAAGCCCUGUUUUGUUGAUGAUUCCGGGACGUAAUCAUCCUAAGGGGGAGAUAAAUGUAACGCCCGUAGAUUCAUGCUAGUCAAUUUAGAGACAAUAAGCAACAAAAAUGACUUUUUGAUGGAAGAUUAUUUAGAAUAAAUAAUCUUAACUAAGUUGUAGCAAACGUCACAAGGAUUCAGUACAUAUAAAGAACGCCGAAAUCUGAAUUAUAACGAAGAAGUUAUGGCCUAUGGCCGGUCGAAGUUUCGCGACAAAACCGGCAGGACGCUACAUGACGUAAAUAAUGAAUUUACGAUAGAGUGACUUUUAGCCUUAGAAAUAUAAACGAAAGUCAUAGUGUUUGUUAAACCGAUAGUGUGCAUGAAAAGAAUACCCAAAUCUGACUUCGUAUAAGGAAGUUAUGAUUUUUCUAAGUUUCGGCUUAGUAGUACACAGCCCAGAGUUCGAAUGUUAAAUCGACUCAUUUUUGGCCGACAUAAACUAAAAGAAAAUCGAAGAUCUCGUUAAUAGUUGCACAACGGUAAAAAGAUAGACGAAAAUGGAUGUCGGAUGAAGAAGUUAUGAAUUUUUAACGGGCUUUUCCUAUCCCGGCCUGUUAGAAAUAUAACUUUAAAAAUAAAGUCAAAAUUAGCCGACGAAGUCCAAACGAAAGUCGUAGAGUACAGUCUCGCCUAUGCGUGGAUAUAAAGAACAUCGAAAACAGAUCUCGUAUGCGAAGAUUACGGCUUUUAGAAGAUAAUUAGUUUUUUGGGUAAUCUGCGAGUGACACGUGGCACAAUCUGGGCCACAACUUCUUCCCCGCGGCUUUGCAUGAGAUCGCGACACGUGGCACAUUACACCCAACGUAAUUUGAGUACGCUUAGCGUAACCCUUAAAAACCCAUUACGCUCAGCGUACUCGGCGCUGGCAGCCUAUAAAUAGAGGCGCAAAUCUCUCAUUUUAUUCACAGCUUUCUCAUAUUUCUCUCUCUAAUUAUCCCAAACCUUCAAGGUUUUUCCCUAGCACUUCCCUAGUGUUAGAAGGAACCCCCUGGAGCGCCCGAAGGCUCCGCGAAAAAGAGCUUUUCAGCUCAAAAGCUCCUCCCGCACAGAGCCCGAUUUUUAAGAAAACUUGUUGUAAGUAAGUUAUACUUACCCAACUUUAAGUAUAACUUAUGUUUAAGUUCGUUAUCGUUAUUAUGAACCUAUAAACAAGAUUUAUCAAUGAUUCCAAGUCAUUAUAUUAAUUGAUCUACUUACGGGGAUGAUGUCUAGGCUUUGAUUUAGUGAGGUGUUUAAAGUGUGAUUUCCAAAUAGCAUACUUCAUAUACCAAACGGACCCUACCUCCGAUAUGAUCCUACCUGGUUGUUCCUUACUUGAUCAAUCAUGAAAGUAGAAUUUGAGUUAAUGAUGAAUCUAGACUAAUAAUUAUUCGCAAUAAAGAUUAGACUAAAACUUAGUGAUAAUAAUGAUAGGUUUCAUCGAAGGAAAAUAGAAUCGUUAGAAGUGAAACGCUAUCCGAAUUUGGAAUCAUCACUUUUUACAAGUGAGUGCAUAGUCCUUUUCAUGAACAUGAUUUUAAUACAAGUAUUGAUAGAAAUAUUAAAUAUAUAUUUGUGUGUGAAAUAUAUGAUGUUCCCUGAAAUACGUGUUAAAGAGCAUACCUGAUAAUAUAUGAUGAUUUAGGAUAAAGAGUAUACCUAAGUUAAUUAUGAGGAAUAUCGGGUAGUAUUUCCUUAUGAGUACGAGUGAGAUAUACACAGAGAAUUGAACCGUUAAACGUGUCAUUAAUAUGGAAGAAUGGAUUAGACAUAGUUAUUCGUCCCUAUUCCGAGAGUACGGAUUGGACUUAGUCAAUUGUCAAUAAUCCGGGAGUAUGGAUUAAGACAUAGUCAAUUGUCCUUAGUCCAGGAGUAUGGACAGGACAUAGUUAUUCAUCAUUAAUACAGGAGUAUGGAUUUAGACAUAGACAUUUGUCCCUAAUCCAAGAGUAUGGAAUGGGCACAAAUAUUGAUCCGAGAGUAUGGAUUAGAUCCGAGAGUAAGAGGUAAUAUUUAAGGUCAAAGAGUAUGGAUAGUCUCGUUGUGAGGAUUGAUGGGGUGGGGUAAGAGUCGAUUAUAUAUAUGGGAAAUUGUAUAUUUUGUGAGAUCUAAAUUAUAUAUAUGAGAUAACAUUGUGGGAUUGAAAUCCCUAUGUACUCACCAGGUUUCCCAACUUGACCCAAUCAAUUUUAUUUGUAUCACAGGUGUCGAUAUGAAGUUACAUUACAUUAAGAGAUUAAGGAGAUAUAAAUCACUAGUGAUAAUGAAUGUAAGUUCUAUUUAUGUUAAUGUUUCUGCAUUGACGAUGACAUUUCAAAUGUUUUAUAAUGAAUAAAAAUACAUUUCUUCGGAAAUGCUUUGAUAACGCAUUUAUCAUGUUUUCUGGGAAUAAAUUCUGCAACAUUUUAGCUAAAAUAGGUACUCUGAUUUUUAUAAAGGAUAAACAAAACCGGUCUUUUAUUAUCGUAAAAAUGGGGAUGUCACAGUCAGAUCUUUAUGUUAUAACAUAUGUUGUAUAUCGAUUAUGAAAUCCUUAGAUUUUUUUUU
This 50475-nucleotide long non-coding RNA is filed under the name Lactuca sativa (garden lettuce). Lineage: Eukaryota; Viridiplantae; Streptophyta; Magnoliopsida; Asterales; Asteraceae. The record is from RNAcentral.